RNAcentral lists this long non-coding RNA (49467 nucleotides) under Malus domestica (apple). RNAcentral describes it as "long non-coding RNA (MDOM_LNC001472)". Lineage: Eukaryota; Viridiplantae; Streptophyta; Magnoliopsida; Rosales; Rosaceae. The record is from RNAcentral.
CAUAGGCAGAAAAUCAUGCGAAAGGCCUGAUAUAUAACAAGAGCGAAUUCUUGGUGCGAGUACCAGUCCAGCAUCCAUACUCAAUUCUUUGAAAGGCCCUUCAAUUUACCUGGAUUUCUCCAAUGAACAAUCAACUUGUCUCUUCUUUUUCCUUCAGCAGUCCUCCUUCGUGGGAGUAUGAUGUCUUUUUGAGCUUCAGAGGAGAGGAUACACGAACCAAUUUUACAGAUCACUUUUACAAGGCGUUGGAGGACAAGAGAAUCACCACGUUCAUUGAUCAUCAACUUAAAAGAGGAGAAGAAAUAUCUCAGGCUCUUCUCGAAGCAAUUGAUGAGUCGAGAAUUUCGAUUAUUGUAUUCUCUAAAAACUAUGCAUCUUCAAGAUGGUGCUUGGAAGAGCUCGAACGUAUCCUUGAAUGUAGAAAGUCAAUGAAGCAAAUAGUUUUGCCAAUUUUUUACAAAGUGGAUCCGUCCCAUGUACGAAAGCAAAUGAGUAGUUUUGGUGACGCGUUUACAAAACUCAAGUGCAAAUUCGAAGACAACAAGGAGAAGAUCCUCACAUGGAGUUGUGCUCUUACAGAUGCAGCCAAUUUGUCAGGAUAUACUUUCAAAGAGGGAGAGUACGUAUAUUUCUUCCCCUUAUACUGCCCUUAAUCUGAAAAGAUGACUUUACCUGAAAUUCAAUUUUCUUUACAUAAAACUCAACCUAGUUUUUGUGCUUGACUAAUUAAGCUUAACAAGUUAGAUUUUAUAUCUUUUGGUUUCCUAAAACACACCUAAUAACAAUUUGAUUCUCUUGCAUAUUUAUAUCCUCUUAUUGUGUUAAACCUAUUGCAAGUUUAACUGGUCAUUACUAAUUGCGUUAAAUUUCGAAUUGGCUGGAUUAAUUACCCGAGUGUACCCAUUUUUUGUUGUUCAAAUUUUAAAUUUAUUAAUAUAUUUUGGUUUCCUAAUUUGCCUUUUUAUUCAAAAUGGUCCCUGAGAUUUGCAUCAUCUAUAAGUUUGGUCCCAGAGAUUUAAAAUCAAUAGAAGUAGAGUAGUCAUUGAGAUUGUCCACCAUCUAUGAUUUUGGUCCUUCCGCUGAAGCUUUUGGCCGGAAGUUUGGGCAAUUUUCAAAGCUUCGUAACUCAAUCGUUUCUUAACCAAAUUCAACCCGUAAUAUAUCAAAAUGAAGAUAGGAAAGUAUAUAAUAAUAUUAUAUCAUUUGGAAGCCCAAUGGUUGUCGGAGAUGGUCGGAAAACAGCCUCCAAAUUGACUGGUCAGAUGAAAAAUUGGAAAACUCGUCGGAAACUGGGUAAACUUUAAACAUUCAUAACUUCUUCAAUACUCAACGAAAUUAAGUGAUUAAAAAACAAAACUCAUACUUCUCGACGAGAAGAAGAGAAUGGUACCUUUUUCAACGGCUAAAUCGCCGUGGUUUUGCCGGAAAAUGGCUCGAAAGUUUCUGACUUGUUUUUCAACAGCCACUUUCAAGCCGUUUUCCGGCCAAACCAUGGCGCGUUAGCCGUUGAAAAAGGUACCAUUAUCUUCUUCUCGUUGUGAAGUAUGAUUUUAGUUUUUGCAAUUGAUUUCCUUGAGUAUUGAAGAAGUUAUGAACGUUUAAAGUUUACCUAGUUUUCGGCGAGUUUUCGGCAAAUUUUCCAAUUUUCCCUCGGAUCAGUCAACUUUGAGGCUAUUUUCUGACCAUCUCUGGCAAUCAUUGGGUUUCCAAUUCGAUAUAAUCUUAUUCUACACUUUACUUUCUUCAUUUUGAUAUAUUAUUGGUCGAAUUUGGUUAAGAAACGAUUGAUUUACAAAGUUUUGAAAAUUGCCUAAACUUCUGGCCAAAAGCUUCAGCAGAAGGACCAAAGUCAUGGAUGGUGGACAAUCUCAGGGACUACUUCUAUUGAUUUUAAAUCUUAAGGACCAAACUUAUGGAUGAUGCGAAUCUCAAGGACCAUUUUGAAUAAAAAGUCUUCCUAAUUUUGUUUGAAAAAUCAAUUUACCUAUGGUGUUGUUUUAUAAUUUACCGAUUACUAAUGAUGUUUGGUAAAUUAGUAUGUUUAGGAAAGAAAUGAUUCAUAUCCAUACAAAACAUCUUUUUUUCAUCCGAACAACAAAAUAACAUUUAAAUGCAAAAAAAAAAAAAUGUCUGUCUUAAUAUUUUUUUUAACAAAAGGAAAAAAAAGAGUCAAUGUCCUAAGUAUGGAAAGAUGUUAGGAUUUUACACAGUAAUAAACGGCAAUGUCAAAUUGUGAAUAAUGGCAUAGGGGUAAAUCAUUUUCAUUAAUGGGUCAAUUAUUAUCUUACAUGAUUCUGUAUUUAGUUGCAAGCGGCACAUGCUUGACUGCAGCAGUGAUUAUCCAUACCUCUGUUUUUUUCAAUUUUUUUUUCUUUUUAUUCUCUUCUUCUUUUUACAUUUUUUUUUUCCUUUUUCAAAGAAAUAUAGCAGAAAAAGUUGAUUGGCUAAAUGUGUCAAAUUUUUAUAUAAACUGGUAGGUAUGAAGCUACAUUUAUCGGUCAGAUCGUGAACGAGAUCCUAAUCCGUGUACUACAACGCCCGCAUUUGAAUGUAGCCAAAUACCAAGUUGGAAUGGAGUCUUGUGUAGAAAAGGUGAAAGAGCUUUUAGAUGGUGGAAAUGAUCCGUGUGUGGUUGGGAUUUGGGGGGCAUCUGGAAUCGGCAAGACAGAAGUUGCAAAAACUGUUUAUAAUGCAAUUGCUUAUAAGUUUGAAGGUCGUUGUUUCCUGGCAGAUGUUCGAGAAAAGUCAAUGCAAUACGAAGGCCUACUCCAACUACAAAACACUCUUCUAAGUGAGAUUGGUGGUUCAGAGUGGAAAGCUGUCAAUACUCAUAGAGAAACAUCCUUAUAGAGAAACUGUUGAGGCGAAAGAAGAUUCUCUUAAUUCUUGAUGAUGUGGAUGAACUGGAGCAUUUAAACAACUUGGUUCAAGUUGAAUGGCUCGGUGAGGGUAGCACAAUGAUCAUAACCACGAAAGAUAUUGGAUUGUUGAAAUCUUAUGACGUUGAGUUGAUAUACAAGGUCCAAAAGUUAAAAGACGACAAGGCUCUUGAGCUUUUAAGUUGGAAUGCCUUCAGAAAAAAAGAACCUUCAGAUGAUUAUUUGGGACUCGCACGACGUGCAAUAGCAUAUGCUCAAGGCCAUCCGUUAGCACUUAAUCUUAUAGGUUCUUAUCUACAUAAUAAAAGUAUAGAUCGUUGGCAAGCUGUAAUGGAUAGUUACGAUUCUUACGAUAGAGAACCUUAUGGAGGAAUUCAAAAAAUACUUCGAAAAAGUUAUGAUACCUUGGAUUAUGUCAUGCAACAAGUUUUUUUAGACAUUGCAUGCUUCUUCAAGGGCGAAGAUAAAGAUUACGUGUUACAAAUAUUAAGAAGUUCGAAGCUCAGUGUACCUCAAGAUUGUAUUGAUGUACUCGUUGAGAAAGCCAUCAUAACUAUUGAAUAUAAUAGAAUUUUGAUGCAUGACUUGCUAGAAAAAAUGGGUAAGCGUAUAGUUCGUGAAGAAUCGCCCACUGAACCAGGCGAGCGGAGCAGAUUGUGGCAUCCUGAACAUGUGUAUCGUGUUCUAACUGAAAACAGAGUAAGUAGAAUAUAUGUUCUUGCAUUUGGUUUAAUUGGCAUGAUUUUGAAAAGAAAAAAAAAUAGAAAACCCUUCUGGUUGGUUUGUUAUACGAUUUGUUUGUUAACACUAUUUAUUUUUCCAUCUUAGGGAACAAAGAAAAUUAAAGGCAUUGUGGUGAAGUUGCCCAAACCAGAUGUGAUACCCUUGAAUGCAAAAAGCUUUUUCAAGAUGGAAAAUCUUGAAAUUUUUAUAAUCCGUAAUGCACACUUUUUUGGAUGCGUUGAGUAUCUACCUGACGAUUUGAGGUGGAUUGAAUUUGGUGGAGAUGGGCUUCAAGACUGGGGAUCCAAUAUUCUUCAAAAGCAUAUAUUUACAUUCAAUUUGCAAUCCAAUUGUCAUCUAAGGCAUCUUGUCACGUUUAUUAUGCCAAACAGUGACAUCAGACAAUUGAAGGUAUUUCAGGUAUGUAUACGUAUUAUAAAUUAAUUUGGACAAUUACUAAUUUAAUUGUAUAUUUUAUUUUUGGAAAAAGAAAUUUGCCAAAGCUUUUCAUCAUUAAUUAUUCUAUUUAAAGUUUGUGAUUUUGUUUUCUUUUGAUUUUGAUUUCACAGAAUUUGGCAAAGCUUACAUCUUUGGAUUUAAGUGGUUCCGAAUUCUUAGAAAAAAUUCCCAACUUAUCCGGAAGUCCAAACCUAAGGGAGUUGAUUCUAGAUGAGUGUAAAAGUUUAGUUGAAGUUGAUGAUUCUGUUGGAUUCCUUGAUAAACUUGAUACAUUAAGUCUUUAUGGGUGCUCUAGGCUUGAGAGAUUUGCGACGAGACUUAGAAUGAGAUCCCUUCAAAGCCUUAAUCUUGAAGGUUGCACAAGGCUCAAGAGUUUCCCAGAAAUAGAGGCCAAGAUGGAAUCUCUACAGUAUUUGAACAUAUCAGAAAGUGGCAUAAGAGAAUUGCCUUCAUCAAUUGCAAAUCUAACUGGGCUUGAAAUGUUGAAUGCAAAUGAAUGUGAAAACCUUACAGGUACAUCAUUACAUCACAUUUAUGGGUUGCAACAUCUCGACUGUAUUGAAAUGGAUGGAUGCCCAAAACUGGUGAUAUUUGGGAAGUUUUCAACUAGCUUAGAUACUUCACAUUACAACAGUGUCCCAUUAGCCCUUUUCAACGUACGCCAUCUUUAUCUUGGUGAAUGCAAUUUAUCAGAAAGUGAUUUUCUUGUGCCUCUUCAAUAUGAACCAUCCAGUCUUCAUUGCUGGUGGUCCACAUUAACAGAUCUUAAUCUGUCGAGAAACAAUUUUGUUAGUCUUCCGAAUUGCAUUAGCAAAUUUGUCAACUUGGAAACACUUUAUUUGACUGGUUGCAAGAGGCUUCGGGAAAUUCCACAUGCCCUUCCACCAAAUCUAAGUUGUUUAUUUCUGGAAGAGUGCUCAUCAUUGGAGAAAAUUCCAAAGUUGCCCUCGGGGCUUAGGCUUCUGCGGUUGACUAAUUGCUUUAGACUAAGUGGCGAUGAGGUGGCAAAGUUGGAAAAUAAUUUGUUGAACUUGAAUCAGGUUCGUCUCUCCUCUCUUAAUUUCUCUUGAAGUUAAAAUAUAUAAUUUGUAGAUACUUGGGAGGGAGAACCGAUCAUGAUUGUUUGUAAUUAGUUAUUUACAUAUUAUUCACUAUUGCAGGAAACUCUUCGGUGCUCUCAAUUGCAGGUUACGUAUCCAGGCGAUGAAGUUCCAAAGCGGUUCAACUAUACCUCUAAACAUUCAACUAUACCUUAUUAUGGUGGAAGUGAAUUUAGUUUUGAAAUUCCUCUAAAUUUACAGGAGAGGGAGACGUUAUUAGGAUUGGCUCUAUCUUUUGUUUUUCAACCACGGCCUUUAUCAGAAGAAUUUGGAUAUGAUUACAAUUUUCGUAUUCACAUCAACGAAGCAAGUGAUUAUAAAGAAUUUAAGUGGAAUGGGGAAGGCAUGGAGACAGCUCAUGUGGGGCUCAUGUUAGUGGAUUUAGAGAAGCAGGGAGAAAGCCCAUGUGGGGCUCAUGUUAGUGGAGAUAUUUGUAAAGUUAAAUUUCAUUUCCCCGCAGGGGCAGGCAUUAAAAGCUGCGGGGUGCAGCCCCUAUUGCGCAAAGGAGAUGAACAGCUUCCCUCGUCUUUGGAACCAACGAGUAGCCUUGGAUCCUCAGAUAUCGUCAAUGAUGAAUAUGAUCGGCAACAACAAUGGCCUUCCUUAUCUUCGAACCCAGCGGAUGAUCAUCCGACACACACACAGAUUGAUCACAAUGUUCCUUCUGAUAUUGAGGAGGAGCAAGAGCAACCGUCCACCAUUUCUGAUUUACUAGGAGUUUGGGUACGUACAUUUCAGUUUUAGUGAUUUUUUUUUUAUUAUUCUUUAUUGUGAUAUCUUUUUUAAAUUAAUAUAAUUAAAAUUAAUUAAUUUAAAUUAAAUAAAGGAAAAUUUUUGAACAAUCUGCAUAAUCAAAGAUUUCAUAUCUUUAGAAACAAAGAUUUCAUAUUUGUAGGUGGUUAGUUAUUAGAAUCAACUUGAUUGAUCUCGACCCUCAUGAUCUCAUAGGUCUCGGCCUGCGUCGGUUGUUUAAAUUUCUGGUGUAAGCCAAGAAAGUGAACUCAUUAAUGCUGCUGCUCUAGUUAGUCAGCCUGUUGUUUCUGCCAAGGAACCGACAAGCCUGCGGUCUAUUUGUGUUCCACCAUCGGAACCUGGGAGUGACGCGUGCAUUAGUUGUUGGAAUUGGACUUCAAAUUCUUGAACAGGUUUGGUUGAAAAAGUUAAAAGGGAAAUUUUAUUUAAACUCAUAUAACUUUUUUUCUACACUCCUCAGGUGUAUGAGCAGGCUGGUAUCGCCGUUCUUCUAUCUGACAUAGGGUUGAAUCCGACAUCUGCAUCUCUCUUCGUAAGUGCCAUUACAACUUUCUUAAUGGAUAUAGCUAGUAGAAGAUAAUUUCGAACACCUUCGGUUUCCUAGAACAGAUUGCUAACUUUUAAUCAAAAUUAUAACUAGGGUACACUAUCCAAAUGAUAAAAUACAGUUUAGUGUCCCUUCAGUUCUAUUUUAGACUAAAAGUUUGUAACCGGUUCUAUCUAUGCAUAUUUGCGGAAAAUAAGCUUUCCUUUUUGCCUUUCUUGGUAUGCAGGUCACUGCUGCUCUCCACAUUAUAUUGUCCCUCACUCUUCUUGUAGUUGCCAACAUUGUCAACUUGGGAACUGUUCUGAAUGCAACAAUCUCCACCGCCGUGCCUGCUGCUUCGUCAUGGCAUUUGGAGUAACCCCGAACAUUCUCUGCUCAGAGAUCAUGCCUACGAGCAUCCACGGCCUCUGCAUUGCCAUCUGUGCCCUCACAUUCUGGAUUGGAGACAUCAUCAUCACUUACGCAUUUCCUGUCAUGCUCUCCUCCGUUGGAUUUGCUGGCAUCUUCGGAAUCUAUGUUGUCGGGUGCAUCGUUCCUGGAUAUUUGUUUACUUGAAGGUGCCUGAAACUAAAGGCAUGCCUCUUGAAGGUAGCUGCUGCUGAUGCAUCUGUUGGAUUCCAAUGAUAACUGAUUUGAUUUAUUUAGAGGGUUUGAAAGUUUGGUUUGGCUUUAGACGGGAUUAUGAGGACAGGAUUUGAGUUGGAAAAAGUGUUGAUGACUGGAUUGGAUUUUUAGAAAGUGAUUUUGUAAUCAUCACUAUCUACUGAUUGCUUGUCUGACAUAUUUUUUAAAAAUUAGUGUCUGAUACUAAUUUGACUUGCCUAUUUUAACCAUUUAUUUAUAUCAUCAUUUGUAUCAUCUUUCUAAUAAAAAUGAGACUCACAUGCAUUUACAAGCCGUAAAAAAAUUAUAUACAAAUAGAUGAUAAAUAUAGCACUACUAUUUUUGUAAUAUUUUUUAAAAUUUUGUAGAACGAAAAAAAGGAAAAGAAGAGAGACUGUUUUAACUGCAGGCCUAAAAGCAGAGCCCUGUUGCCGCGUAGCACUAGGAAGUCAGUCAUCGUCUUCAGUCUUCACCAAAUUGAGUUAGAAGAAUUAGGGUUUUAGAGCUGCAAAGAUCCAAACUUUAUCAGUCUCUCCGAAAGUAAUUAGAGAAAUGGAAACCCAAUCAAGGGAUGGAGACUCUCUGGAGAAGCGGCCCGGCAUCUUCUUCCUCGGCUCCCCCGGCGUCGUCAAACGCUCUCUCAUUUCCCGUAUGCUCUCUCUCUUUCUCUCUCCUUUGGUCGAUAGAUUUCUAGGCUUACCGGGUUUGGAUUUUUGACGAUGCUUCUGAUUCUUCAUCGUCAUCUCAGCUGGUAGUUGAUGGGUAUGUAAAAUUUUGAACUUAGGGAUCAAAGAAUUCAACUCUUAUGAAUUUUGGGAACAAACAAUUCGUUUUGAAUUCUUUUGAAAUGUGUAUUUUGAUGACUUUUGUUGUAAAGAAAUAGAUGGAAUAUCUCUACAAAUUACUACACAGCUGGUGUUUCGGUAUGGUUGGUUCAUCUCCAUGACGAAUUUUUUAUAGAGUCCCUCCCAAUGUAUGAGCAGUUGGCUGCCUUGAUCUUGGUUUUCGACACAACUGAGGUUUUGGUCUCUUGCCACUCACUCUUUGUCACUUUGUUUACUUGUUUAUCAUGAUUUUCAAUGUGUCUUAUAUCAAUUUGCUCUCAUUAUGCUGCAGUUGUCGUCUCUGUCUGCGCUUCAGGAAUGGGUAUCUCAAACUGAUCUUCAAAAGUUCGAUAUACUAGUAUGCGUAGGGAAUAAGGUUGAUCGUGUUCCGGGUCACCCGGUUCGUGCCGAAUAUAGAAGACGACUGCAGAAGCUUGGAGACCCGUUUGCUGAUGCCGGUCCAGGGUUCACUGCGUAUGGAAUCUCCGAGACUGAAGGAAGCAGUUUAUUGGGGGAUGACGAGCCAUUUUGGGGGGCUAGCCACACAUGUUUGGAAUGGUGCACUGAGCAUAACAUUGAGUUCGUUGAAGCUUGCGCUUCAAAUACUGAUUUUGACAAAUGUAAGGUAGCCCUUCUUUCUGAUUUGUAGUUUAUGGCAAGUUUUAUACGAAAGUGAAAAAUAAAAAGUACCCUGCUCGAAGGUUACUUUCAUGUGUCAGCUUCAAUAUUAGAAAGAGUUGGUUAGCCUGAGAAAAUGAAUAAAAGUGAUAUCGUGAUAAAUGAGCACGUCGAUCGUACGGCACACAAAUUUCCUGCUUUGUUGGAUAUCUUUUAAGUUUAAGGUACUGUUUUACAGGUUUGUCAGUUGAUGGCGACUCGCAAGGUAUUGAAUGACUUUUUGGUGCUCUUUCCGCACAUAUGUGGCCUGAAAUGAUUCUGAAAUCAGGCGAUAAGAUUGCUGAACCGUCAUUACCUGAAAGAGGAGUAGGUUUUAUACUAUGCCGCUUAUAUUUGGUUUAUAAUAUAUAUUUUACUAUUAAGUAGGAUUCUAAAUGUCUGAAACUUGAAUCCUUUGUGCUAGACUUGUCAGAUGAAGAAUCUGAUUAUGAAUUUGAGUAUGAAGUCCUCUCUGCAGGUUCAGCUGAUCCAUUUGAUGACACGGAAGAAUGGGUUUCUGCGAAUGGUUUUGCUGGACCUUCAGAUAUGCGAGGACUGGCUGCUCAAGGUAAUCUAGUCCUAGAAUGCAAACAAGAGAAUGGAACCAGUUCUAAUAAGGAGGUUCCCCGUGCCUUGAACUCGACAGCUGCGUUGGAUGAUAGUAUUAGCAAAGGAGUAUCCAGUGCAGAAGAACCUGAACAGGACACAGAACAUGACCAAGCCCCAGAACCGGAUGAGGGUACGAAUUUUGAAUUUGAAGAUUUGGAACAGUCGAUGUCUGAGAUUGGGAACCUGCGCAACAGUUCGAGAUUGCUGCCGGAUUUUCAGAGAAGAGAUAUGGCUGAUAUGGCUGCAAUGCUGGCCAUGAAAAUGGCUACCAUGUUUGGGGUUGGCAGUGAUGGUGAAGUGGAAAGUAUCGGCGAGUAAAGGCUAUGAGUAUCUGUUGACCCUAGAAAUUACAAAGCCUACGUGGCGCGCAGGCCGAGUAUAUUCUAAGCUAACUACGUCCUUCGGUGAUUGCGGGGCGUGCCAACUCGUCGGCCGAGGUUCGGCCGAGGAAUAAAUUUGAUGAUGCUGUGUUGAGUCGCGCUACUGACUUUUGCGUCUUGCGAUUGCGGCCGAGAAAGGAACACGUCUCGGCCUCUUGGGUUCUCGAGCCUGAAGACAAGGCUGCUAUUUCUUACAAAGUUCACGAACCGAAUUCGGCUUGCAAUGUGCCGAAUAAUAACUGUGACACCUCACCUCGCCGAGAAGGCUAAUGAGAUGACCUCGACCAACAAGGAUCCGAAAACCCCUCUCGACCGAGACUUGGAUAGGUAACCGACCGUUCUCGCCGCAGUGCUGUUGAUGCCAACGGAAGAUACUGCGAGACCGACCGACUCUACGGUGACAGAGCUAUCUAUGCCGACUUAAGAUACCACCGGUUGCUUCCACAGUGCUGUUGAUGCCAACGGAAGAUGUGUCAGCGAAAAAGGAAAAGAAAAAGAUCUCAAGUUGUGAGAAUUUGCGCAGGGCAAUUUUGUAUUGAUUUUUGUGGGGGCCUCUUGAAUAAUGCACAGCCUCAUGUAUUUAUAAUACUAUUUACUGGCCAUGUUGAACUUUAUCCGUCGCGGCAUCCAAGCUAUCAAAAUAAUAUUCCUCAGAAUAUUUUCCUUCAACAACCCCACGGAUUGCUAUUCAAUUGUUAUCUUUUGCAUGCCCAAAAGAGACCAUAUCACUUGGAACUCUACUUCCCGUCAGACAGUAUCCUAAACAUCACCAACUCUUGCUUGGUCAAUCCUAAUCUUUCACCCAUCCACAUAUGCUUUAUCCACGCAUACAUGAUACUUAAAACAAAUGGUUAAUGGUUUUUGCUUUAUCUGCAAAAACUACCAUGAUCCUGUCACAUCACCUUGUUUUGGUUACUCCCCACAUCAUCUCAAUGUGCUGAUCAUCCCAUUACUUUGUGGAAUUGCUCCCCACGGUUCCGUAUACCAAAUAGAACUCCAAUGCUGCAUGGUAUUUUACAUAACCACAAUUAAUUCAAACUCUGUUGUUGUUGUUUUCAUUGGAGAUAAUGAAAAUCCCAUUUAUUCCUCCGUAUAAGAAAAGGAUAAAUAAUGAUUAUGAUAAAAAUCAUAAUAUUAUCCCUCUAUCUUCACUUUUCGAUCGACGGUGUAGAAACGUGCUUACUCAACGGCCUUGAUUACUCGGGCCGAUGGUGUAAAUUUGGGCUCAAACAUUGCCCCCCAAUUUCCUUGCACUUCGGCUCGUAAGCCGAAUGGUUAAGGAAAUUAGCGCAGUUGAAGAAAUAUAUAGUCGAAGAGAAUUGAGCAUCCACCGCCGCAUAAAAAAUCACUCGGCAGAAAGUUGUUCUAAAUACAACCUUGCCGAGGAAGAAAAGCAACCAUAUACCAGAUGAUUGGGUUCUAUGCCGAAUACCCAACAGACAGAGCAACAUGGAGAAUCAACAGCCUCGGCAUCAAUCUAUGACAGCACACAAUACACUAAAACACAUUUUCAUGCAAGCUAACUUUAUACAUACAUAUAUAUAUAUAUAUACAUAUAUAUAUAUAUAUAUAUAUACAUAUACAUAUAUAUAGUUGAGGUCAAAAGCACAUGCACGUGGUCUUAGUGUUCUUCUCAGUUGAGGCGCACAAAACCCAAAAAGAAAAACCAAAUCAACUAGGCAAUACCUUGACAAGCCGUCCUUGGCCAACUUCUUUUAUAUAUCUCGGCCAACUUUUUUUUAUUUUUUUUUUAUUCGGCUUUUAUUCGGCCUCGGUCUAGACGGUCGAAAUGCUCCUUUUUUCCAGUUUGUGCAUCAAAAAUUAUUCCUACUUUUUCUCUCUUCUGCACCGAGUAUCAAAUUUAACCGAGUAUCUGUGUAGCCCCCCUUAUUUUCUUAUGCAUCGGCUUAAUUAGCCAGAUGAUUAAGAAAAUAAUUUAUUCUCUUUUUUUUUUUUUUAAAAAAAAACAGAAGAAAACGAAAGUGGCCGAUCAAUAGUAAGGAGGAGGCCAACGAUGCUUUACUCCAAGCCGAGAUCUUUUAAUAUCAAAAUUCUCAAAUUGAUUUUGCUCUAGGCCGAAUAAAGAAUUUUCUCCAAAUAUUUUUGACUUGGUGAAAUAUUUUUCAUUCUCGGCCGCCGAAUGUGUUAAACAAUUAUUAUGCCCCCCAGGCAUAAUUUCGGCUUUUAAUUCAAACAACUUAGCCGAACAGGAUUUCUCCAUAUCGGCUUUAUUGCCAAUAAUCAUAUCAAUUGGCGUAGUUUCUUGGGCUAGGCCAAUAUCUUGGCCUUGUUCGUCAUUGGAGCAUUCCUCUGACGAAUCAUUUUCCAAGUCAAUUUUUGUAUCUAGCUCAAGAACUUGAAUUUUUUCUUCUAGGCCUACCACACUUUCAGUCUCGACCGAAAAAAUAGGUGGCUUUUGUUCUUCGGCCAAAUUAACAAUUUUCUUAGGCUGAUGUCUGAUUACGGCCGGAGCGAAAAAUUGCCCCCCGGCCUUUAGGCCUAACCAUUUUUCAAAUGGAAUAGAUUUGUAAUCAGAAACGUAAGGAAAAUUUUCUUCAUCUAGCCAGGCAUUAAAUCGAGCCCUGUCUUCAUUUAUCCAUUGCCCUUGUAGGAUAACAGGAGCUUUUAUUUUCAACAUGCAAGCGAAUGACUUUUGCAUCUCUUUAUGGCCACGAAGAACUUUUUAUGCUUCCAAAGAUUUUUUUUGUUCCUCAUUGUAUUUUUUCAAUUCCUCUAGGAGCUCGUGCAAUCGGCUAAAUGGAGCCAGAUUGACAUUUUGAUCUAUCAUGUGAACUUCGUAGUUUUAGCACUGGGUCCCACUGGGCGUGCCAAAAUGUUGACCCUAGAAAUUACAAAGCCUACGUGGCGCGCAGGCCGAGUAUAUUCUAAGCUAACUACGUCCUUCGGUGAUUGCGGGGCGUGCCAACUCGUCGGCCGAGGUUCGGCCGAGGAAUAAAUUUGAUGAUGCUGUGUUGAGUCGCGCUACUGACUUUUGCGUCUUGCGAUUGCGGCCGAGAAAGGAACACGUCUCGGCCUCUUGGGUUCUCGAGCCUGAAGACAAGGCUGCUAUUUCUUACAAAGUUCACGAACCGAAUUCGGCUUGCAAUGUGCCGAAUAAUAACUGUGACACCUCACCUCGCCGAGAAAGCUAAUGAGAUGACCUCGACCAACAAGGAUCCGAAAACCCCUCUCGACCGAGACUUGGAUAGGUAACCGACCGUUCUCGCCGCAGUGCUGUUGAUGCCAACGGAAGAUACUGCGAGACCGACCGACUCUACGGUGACAGAGCUAUCUAUGCCGACUUAAGAUACCACCGGUUGCUUCCACAGUGCUGUUGAUGCCAACGGAAGAUGUGUCAGCGAAAAAGGAAAAGAAAAAGAUCUCAAGUUGUGAGAAUUUGCGCAGGGCAAUUUUGUAUUGAUUUUUUGUGGGGCCUCUUGAAUAAUGCACAGCCUCAUGUAUUUAUAAUACUAUUUACUGGCCAUGUUGAACUUUAUCCGUCGCGGCAUCCAAGCUAUCAAAAUAAUAUUCCUCAGAAUAUUUUCCUUCAACAACCCCACGGAUUGCUAUUCAAUUGUUAUCUUUUGCAUGCCCAAAAGAGACCAUAUCACUUGGAACUCUACUUCCCGUCAGACAGUAUCCUAAACAUCACCAACUCUUGCUUGGUCAAAUCCUAAUCUUUCACCCAUCCACAUAUGCUUUAUCCACGCAUACAUGAUACUUAAAACAAAUGGUUAAUGGUUUUUGCUUUAUCUGCAAAAACCACCAUGAUCCUGUCACAUCACCUUGUUUUGGUUACUCCCCACAUCAUCUCAAUGUGCUGAUCAUCCCAUUACUUUGUGGAAUUGCUCCCCACGGUUCCGUAUACCAAAUAGAACUCCAAUGCUGCAUGGUAUUUUACAUAACCACAAUUAAUUCAAACUCUGUUGUUGUUGUUUUCAUUGGAGAUAAUGAAAAUCCCAUUUAUUCCUCCGUAUAAGAAAAGGAUAAAUAAUGAUUAUGAUAAAAAUCAUAAUAUUAUCCCUCUAUCUUCACUUUUCGAUCGACGGUGUAGAAACGUGCUUACUCAACGACCUUGAUUACUCGGGCCGAUGGUGUAAAUUUGGGCUCAAACAGUAUCUAAGAGAGAUGUGAGUGUUACACAUCCCUGAAUCCCCUUGGACUUUUUUCCACAACGUGGCAAGGAAAGGAGAAUCGGCAGUCUUCUUUUCUCUUUUACUGUAUAAGUAGGUUCAGAAUAGUCGAUACCAAUUAACCGUGCCCAAACCGAGUUUGUAAGAAACUUGUGCUUUUAAUGAAACAAUGGAAAUGUUGGGAUUGCAUUCGAAAAUCGAAGGGAUGAAUCGAUUCCUGUAUGAGCGCAAUUAGUGAUGAUGUUUCUCAACUUCGAUAUGAAAACCAACGUACAAAUUACAAAUUUCCUCCAAUGAUGGAUGCAAAUCAAUCUUAGUUGAUGAAUCGAUUUUAUACUAUAUAUUACUCCCUAUUCUUGGUAUAUUUUGGUUAUUAUUUUGGUGAGAUUUUGAUGCUUUGUUAUGUGUUUUUAAUGUAGGACAUGCGAACUUGUUAUGAGCAUAAAGUAAUCAAACAGUGGAUUUUUUGAGUGAUUCCAAUUGGAGCGGGUUUAUGAAUCUGUCAAGAAGGCUGUAUCAAAAUUUCAUAAUUUUAUCCCCAAGCAUUUGAUUGUGGCGAAUUAAUUUAUACCCAACGCGCAGUGUUGGCAUAUGGGGCUGCAGAGCUUAUUUGCGACUCCUGGGUUGGAAGAUGAUGGAUUUUGGACUUGGACUUGGACUUUUCUUGAAACUUGAAGAGGAGGUCCUUUAAUUCAAGUCGAUUUGGGCUUGUUUUGGAGCCCUAAAGGUCCAAAAACGUGGUUAUCUCUUUGCUGGGCAGAUUUCGUAGUUAGAAUAGGAAUGCAAUUCCUAGUUAUCCUUUUAUUAUUUUAUUUCCUAGUUUUUAGAAACCUUUUCUAUGAGGGUUUAAAUUGGGAGUAGUAUAAAUAAGGAUUUUUUAGCCAUUAGGGUUCUGGGGGGAGAAUGUAUGCAUUAUUUUGUAGAACUUCAAACUUUUUACCUACAAGGUGUUUUCAUUCUUUUUUCUAGUUAAUAUAUUUUAUUUAUUUUUUAUUAUGAUUGUUCGUAACUAGCUCUUUUGCUAGGGCGAAGCCACAAGCCUUAGCAUGAAUAUGUGAUUUUAUUAAUUUGCCUAUGAAUGGAUACAUGCUUGCUUUGAAUUAUUAACCACGACGAUUAAGCUAUCUAAUUGUUUUAGUGAUUCGUGAUCAUUAGGGUAUUAGACAAGCAAUUUGAUGCAAUUUCUGUUGGAACAUCACUCUGAAAUUGAGGAAGGCUUCUUGUGAUUAGUAAUUGUAAGUUCACUUAAGGUGAACAUCAUGCUCUUAGGGUUGCAUGGUUUUUUGAAGGGUUUUCACAAAGCUUAAUGAAUCUUACACGUUUAUAUUUGAUCGGGACAUCACAGACGGAUUGCAUGUUAGAUAUAUAUUUUCGCUUGAACAUCACAAGGAAAAUAUGUAUUAGGAAAACCUAACCUUCAAAGCAUGUAUGUAGAAAUUCAUAAGUAAUUGGUAAAAUUACAUAGGAUUGUUAAUGGUGACUGCAGAAUCCUAGUGUUUAAAUUGUUUUCCAAAACCUUUGUCUUUUGCUUUCUUUACUUUGUCAAGCACUUAAUUAUUUUUAUUUAAAUUCGUUUUUAUUAUUUUAAAUUCCAAAACCAACCAUUUCAAACCUUUGUUCUAAAUAAUUAGCUAAGAAUUAGUUUAAAUACAAAUUAUUCAUUCAAUCUAUGCGGCAAACAACCUUGUUUGAGCUAUUAUACUACGAUACCCUUGUACUCUUACAAAUAUUUUUAAGUGUUUUUAUUCCUACUUUUGUAGGUGAUAAAAAUCCUAUCAAGAAAUUGGUGCCGUUGCCGGGGAUCGUUUCAAAUAAUUUGUGUUUAUCAUAUUCUUAGUUAAUUAUUUUUGUAAAUAUCUUUUUACUUGUUGAUUUUAUUUUUAUUUUUAUAGGUUAUGUUUUGUUGGUUUUGAGAACAGUUAAACGAUGGGCUGGAAUCUACAACCAACAGGAGGGCUACCUUCAUGGAAUUAUAUCAAUAUGAGGAACUCUCAAAGGCCUAGGUGCGAUCCAUACUCAAAACUUUACAAUCUAAGAGCCCCUUGAACAGCCAACCGUGCCACAAAGAUCUACUCUAGAUGACAAACUUGCUGAAUUGGCAGAGUGUGUCAAGCAAUUUGUUGAUAGCAUGCCGAAUACCAAACCAUCAGCAAAGAUAAUUGAAGAGCAAGAUGGGCAGCUUUCGUAUCAAUUCAUAGAAAAUGAGAACGAUUCAUAUUCAAACUUUUACAAUCGGUGGACAGAGCAUCCUACUUCUAUGUGGGUAAGCAAUCAACAGGCUUUUCAGCAGCCCUGUGUGCCACAAAAACUUUCUUUGGAGGACCAGAUUGCUAAGUUGGAGGAGUCCACUAGGUUGUUCAUGGAGGGUACCCCUUAGUUGCAGAAAAUAAAUUCAAUCGACAAUCUGGCACAGCAAAUCGAGCAUCUCACGUAUCAAUUGGAAGAACAAGAAAACGAUUCCAAUUCAAAUUUCCCUAAUCAACCAAUCGCAAACCUACAGGGUUCAAAGGAGUGCUCUGCAGAUCAAACAUUGAGAUGGGGGGAAAACCAACGAUACUACAAUGGAAGAAUCUGAAAUUGAAGGCCCAACGGGAGAAACAGCGCCUACUGACCUUGAACCUGUUAUGACCCAAAGGCAGCAGCAGACCAUGACGGAUCAACAAAAUCAAGAUUCUAUGCGGACACAUGCAAAAGUGCACAUUAAUCUGCCGCUACAGGAUGCGACUGAAAAAUCUCCAAAGCAAUCACUAAAUUUCAAUUUAUUCGAGGCUCCAAGGCAACCCGCUAAGCAGCAGGAAUGCAUGAAUACUCAAACAGAUUUGGAUACAGGGCAGACGGGUGGUGAUGAGAAAUUUUUAAAUGCUGUACUGGAUAGUACACCAGCACAGCCGAUCAUAUUUAGAGAAAUUUGGGGAAAGUCCUACAAGCAAGCUAAGAUUUGCAUGGGAAAUAAGAAAAAGCUUAAUGGCAGCUGCAUUCUUCGUCAACAAAUUCUACUAGUGCAAAGGUUGUGGGUGUUAAAUACAAGGUUCAAGUCAUCCAAGUAUUGAACUUUGAGUGUGUGGAUUAAUCUGUUCACAUGUGUGCAAUAUGAUUUGGCCGAUGAUAAUAAGUUCACCAAGUGUUUCAAGAAAUGCCGUAGUGAAUAAACUAAAUUUUCUUUUUGAGUGGUUCCGGCUCUAUUCCUAUCUAGGAAACUUGGACCUUCUAGGACCUCCAAUGUUUAUUCUACAAAGUAUUGCUUGUGAGUGCUCUGGAUUGCAAAUUAUGAUUCCAGGCAAUAAAGUUUCAAGACGGUUUGGCUGUACCCAUAAAGAUCAAACGACAUUUGAACUUCCUCUAGAUAACGAAGGAUGAGAGAGAGGUAAAUCAUGUGUUGCUCAUUUUUUCAGCUUAGCUGACAAUUAAUUAAUUAAGUCCGUCGAAAAAAAAUACAAAACAAAGAUGUGGCCUUCGAAAGUGGGCAAAUGGGUCGGAAUUAUUAUUUCAUUCCCGGUGAAGAAAGGCCACAGUUGAUUACAAUAUCAAAAAAUAAUUGAAUACAGACAAACUAUAGUGAUCAGAUCAAAGGAAAAAGAAACUCCAUAGUGGAGAGAAAUUUACCUACAUCAUCAUCGGAGAUACUUUCCUUGGUAUGGCCACUAUUAGUAAUAUUUUUAUAUUUUUCAGUUGUCUGUGAUUAUUUUAAAAUAUUAUAACGGUGGAUUGUUACAUCAAAGGUAGUUGGUAGUAGUUUGCAACAAAACUUUAUCUCCUUUAAAUUAAAGAACCCCAAGUAACAAUUUUAUAUUUUUCAAUCGUCAAUGAAACUGCCUAGAAAAUUCAUCUCCUUCAACUUGACACCACAUUCAUAUUGAAAGGUAGUAGGUAGGAAACCGCUUGGUAGGUAGGAAGAAAAGCAUGAGGACUAAUAUAACAAGAGAGAGUCCACAUUCACAUUGAAGGUGGUAGGAAACUGCUGCUUCCUUCAAGGGAAGAAAAGCAUGCGUAAGGCCUGAUAUUAAUAUAUAUAACAAGAGAGAGUCCAAUGUCCACACUCCAUAGUCCAUACCAUACUGCAUAUUCCAAUUCUUUGAGAGGCCUCUUUUCUUUAGUUUAUUUGUCUUUAAUUCUCUUAUGGCCAUUCAACUUGCCUCUUCUUCUUCCUUGCCUCCUUCAUGGACAUAUGAUGUAUUUUUGAGUUUUAGAGGUGAGGAUACACGCUUUACUUUUACAGAUCAUUUAUACGAGGCCUUGCAUCGUAACAGAAUCGACACCUUCAUUGAUCGCCAUUUUAAAAGAGGAGAAGAAAUAUCACCGGCUUUUCUAAAGGCAAUUGAAGAGUCGAGAAUUUCAAUCAUUGUAAUCUCUGAAAAUUAUGCAUCGUCAAGAUGGUGCUUGGAUGAGCUCGUACAUAUCCUUGAAUGUAGAAGGUCAAGGCAGCAAAUAGUUUGGCCAGUUUUCUACAAGGUGGAUCCGUCCCAUGUACGAAAUCAAACGAGUAGGUUCGGUGACGCAUUUACAGGACUAGAGUGCAAAUACAAGGACGAGGAGAAGAUCCUCUUAUGGAGGAGUGCUCUUAAAGAAGUAGCAAAUUUGUCAGGACAUACUGUCAAAGAGGAAGAGUACGUACAUUUCUUCACUCCUUUUAGUUUGUUUAAUUAUAUGAUUCUGUAUUUCAGGUUUUAGUUUCUACUAAAAUAAUACCUAUUUAGUUGCUAGUUUUUAAAUCCCUAGCACUUAAAAACUGCAGCAAUUCCAUAAUUUUCCAGCUUUGUUGAAUGGCAAGUCUAUAAUUUACAUAUGAAGAAGAUAACUCUUAUCAAUGCUACUAUAUAAAGUUGGAAGCCCAUUUGCGGUCACGGGUUUCACCAUAAAUGAUGGGAUAAAAAUGCUCCUCAAAUAAAAAAGUUCAAAAAAGUCUAAAAUAAUACAUGAAAUAAUGUAGGAAUAUUUUGGUAAUAUAAACAGCAUUUUUUUUAUAAUUAAUUUUUUUGUACAGUUUUAUUUUAUAUUAUUUUUAUAAUUAAUACCAUAAUGUGUUAGUAAUAAUGUGAUUUAAUCAGUUGUUAAUUAAAUAUUAUUUUCUCUAUUUUUAAACAUGUUCAAAACAUCUUAAAAGAUAUGUAAUGCCGGUUAUAAAAAUGAUAUUUCUUGCGUGUAUUAUCUACAUUAAUGAAAAGGGGAUAGAUUUACUCCACACGCGCUACGCGCAUGAAGGCCAGUUUAUGUUAAACCUACAUGACCAUCUUCUUCAUAUAUAAUUAUCGACUUGUCAUUCACCAAAGCUAGCGAAUCAGGGAGUGACUCCUGUUGUUGCGGGCACUCCUCUUUCGUGUAAUACUCUGUCAUUGUUUUUGGGAACUGAUAAACUCACCCCGUUACUCUUAUCUUCCCACACAUUAUUAUUCCAUCCGCCAUACAAAAUUAAAAAAAAUUAAAAAAAAUUAACAUCUUAUUUUCCAACCCCUAUAAUCUACAUAGUCAUUGGUUUUGUUGGAGAGUUGUAGAGAGCAAGAGAUCUGCUUCAUCAAUUCAACUAAUUUAGUUCGAAGCAAAAGAAUUAAAUCGAAAAAGUGGAAGUAAGAAUAUCAGAAACAGUUAAAAAAAAAAUUCGAAUCUGCAAGUAAAGGGGAAGCAGUUUAAGAGGGAGAGCGUACCGGCGAGCUUCUCAGCAUCGAACCAAGAUUCUGAUUCCCCUGUCCUCUCUCUCUCUCUCUCUCUCUCUCUCUCUCUCUUAAAUUGCUCUCCUAAAGCCGAGAUUUGAUUCAAAUGACCUGGAAGCUAUCAAAUUAAAGAUGCAAAAUUGCAACAAAACGUCCAAAAUUUUAAAAUUUGUUGGAAAAAUCCACAAACUGAUGAACAUAUUUGGAAUUGGAGCCCUAGAAAUCACAGAAACGAACCAUGAGAAAUGCUAUCUGUCGGUGGAUUCUUGAACUUCUUCCGCCACCGGAAUAAUGGAUCUUUCUCCCACCGAUCAAAACUUGACUCCAUUAAUUAAUCUGCCCAAAUAAUGUACCUAUGGUGUUGUUUUAUAAUUUACCGAUUACUAAUGAUGUUAGGUAAAUUAGUACUUUUAGGAAAUAAAUGAUACAUAUCCAUACAAAACAUCUGCUUUCAUCGGAGAAAUUUUAUUUAAACUCAUAUAAUCUUUUUUUACAUCAAAUUUACUCUCUUCAUUCAUAUUGUUUUUUUAUUAAAAAAUUAAUCUCUCUUUAAACCCAAAUUUAUUACCUAAACUAUCCACUCAAACCCAAUUCAAAAUAUUAAAUUAUCUUUACACGUAUUUCCUUUAUAAAAUAACAUCUGUAAUUAAUUUUUUUUUAAGAAACGUCUUUGCCCCACCCCCCUCUCCUAGUAGCAUUUUCAUGGCUACUUUUUUUCUUUCUGCUACCAAAUCUAGACAUUUACCUUUUUUUCUUUAUACUGAUGUGCAUAAGCAACAAAUCAAACCAUUCAUCCUCUUAUAUUAUCAACAAGCAAUGAAGUUUAUAAUCUAAGAACAUUGGUAAGAAGUUUUUCCUUAUAAUUUUUCAAUUGCAGAAAGCUUAACAAACCAUUCGGAAUUGAUGAAAAAAAUUUAAAUCAAAUGAACAAAAUAUUCAUAAAUUAAGUCAUACCUUAGUUGGAGGAUUCAAAACUUCAAAAUCACCAUCCAUCAAUAAAAAAACUCGUUUUUCUCUAGAAGACCUAUUAGGGUUUUAGCCAGAAUGAAGGAUAAACAAGAAGUGAUGGUAGAGUUUAAUGGGUUUAUUGAUAAAUUUGAGUUUUAUUAUUAAUUUCAUUUUGUACUUAAUAGUAAUUAUGCAAUAUGUUAAAAUAGACAACAACAUAACAUUUAAAUGAAAAAAAAAGUCUAUGUCUUAUUGUUAUUUUUUUUAAACAAAAGGGAAAAAAAAAAGGAAAAAGUCAAUGUCUUAAGUAUGGAUAUGGAAAGAUGUUAGGAUUUUACACAGUAAUAAACAGUGUGAAAUUGUGAAUAAUGGCAUAGGGGUAAAUAAUUUUUAUUAAUGUGUCAAUUAUUAUCUUACAUGAUUCUGUGUUUAGCUGCAAGCGGCACAUACUUGACUGCAGCAGUGAUUAUCCAUUCCUCUGUUUUUUGGACCUGGAUUGUCUGCCCUCAUCAUUCCAUGCCUUCCUAUUUAUGUGGUCACGGUUAAGCCACGUCAACAUUUUAUAUUGAUUUUGCUUUUUGUCUUAUUAUUUUUAUAAAAAAAAUUAAUAUAAAAUGUUAACGUGGCUUAACCGUGACCACAUAACAUAAGAGGGCAUGGGGAGGGCAUGGAAUGGGAAGGGCAGACAAUCCAAGUCCCUGUUUUUUUCAAUCUUUUUUUUCUUUUCAUUCUCUUCUUCUUUUUACAUUUUUUUUUCCUUUUUUAAAGAAAUAUAGCAGAAAAAGUUGAUUGGCUAAAUGUGUCAAUUUUUUAUAUAAACUGGUAGGUAUGAAGCUACAUUUAUCAGUAAGAUCGUAAAGGAGAUCUUGGUCCGCAUGCAACAACGCAUGCAUUUGAACGUAGCCAAAUACCCAGUUGGAAUUAAGUCCUGUGUAGAAAAGGUGAAAGAGCUUUUAGGUCUCGGUGGAAAUGAUCCGUGUGUGGUUGGGAUUUGGGGGGCAUCUGGAAUCGGCAAGACAACAGUUGCAAAAGCUGUUUAUAAUGCAAUUGCUUAUAAGUUUGAAGGUAGUUGUUUCCUGGCAGAUGUUCGAGAAACGUCAAUGCAAUACGGAGGCCUAUUCCAACUACAAAACACUCUUCUAUGGGAGAUUGGUGGUUCAGAGUGGAAAGUUGUCAAUCCUCAUAGAGGAAACAUCCUUAUAGAGAAACUGUUGAGGCGAAAGAAAUCUCUCUUAAUUCUUGAUGAUGUGGAUGAUUUGGAGCAGUUAAGCAACUUGGUUCAAGUUAAAUGGCUCGGUGAGGGUAGCAGAGUGAUCAUAACCACAAAAAAUAAAGGAUUGCUGGAAUCUUGUAAAGUUGAGCUGAUAUACAAGGUCCAAAAGUUAGAAGACAACAAAGCUCUUGAGCUUUUUAGUUGGAAUGCCUUCGGAAAAGAAAAACCUCCAGAUGAUUAUUUGGGACUCGCACGGCGUGCAAUAGGCUAUGCUCAAGGCCUCCCGUUAGCUCUUAAUCUUAUAGGUUCUCAUCUGCGUGGUAAAAAUAUAGAUCGUUGGCAAGAUAUUUUAGAUAGUUACGAUGAAGAACCUUAUAGAGGGAUUCAAAGAGUACUUCGGAAAAGUUAUGAUACCUUGGAUUAUGUCCCGCAACAAGUUUUCCUAGACAUUGCAUGCUUCUUCAAGGGUGAAGAUAAAGACAAAGUUUUACAGAUAUUAAAAGGAUCAAACCUCAAAGUACGUCAACAUUGUAUUGAUGUUCUCGUUGAGAAUGCCAUUAUUACUAUUGAAUAUAAUAGGAUUUUGAUGCAUGACUUGCUAGAAAAAAUGGGUAAGCAUAUAGUUUGGGAAGAAUCGCCCACUGAACCAGGCGAGCGGAGCAGAUUAUGGCAUCAUGAAGAUGUGUACCAUGUUCUAACUAAAAAUAGAGUAAGUAGAAUAUAUGUUCUUGCAUUUGAUUUAAUUGGCAUGAUUUUGGAAAGAAAAAAAAAUUAAAUCCUUUUGAUUUCUUUGUUAUACAAUUUGUUUGUUAACGCUAUUUAUUUUUCCAUCUUAGGGAACAAAGAAAAUUAAGGGCAUUGUGGUGAAGUUGCCCAAGCUAGAUGUGAUACCCUUGAAUGCAAAAAGCUUUUUCAAGAUGGUAAAUCUUGAAAUUUUUAUAAUCCAUAAUGCAUAUUUUUCUGGAUGCGUUGAGUAUCUACCCGAAAAUUUGAGGUGGAUUAAAUUCGGUGAAGAUGGGCUUCAAGACUGGGGAUCCAAACUUAAAUUCAAUUUGCAAUCCAAUUGUCAUCUAAGGCAUCUUGUCACGUUUAUUAUGCCAAACAGUGACAUCAGACAAUUGAAGGUAUUUCAGGUAUGUAUACGUAUUAUAAAUUAAUUUGGACAAUUACUAAUUUAAUUGUAUACUUUAUUUUUGGAAAAAGAAAUUUGCCAAAGCUUUUCAUCAUUAAUUAUUUUAUUUAAAGUUUGUGAUUUUUUUUUUAUUUUGAUUUCUCAGAAUUUGGCAAAGCUUACAUCUUUGAAUUUAAGUGGUUCCGAAUUCUUAGAAAAAAUUCCCAACUUAUCCGGAAGUCCAAACCUAAGGGAGUUGAUACUAAAUAAGUGUAAACGUUUAGUUGAAGUUGAUGAUUCUGUUGGAUUCCUUGAUAAACUUGUUACAUUACGUCUUGUUGGGUGCUCUAGGCUUAAGAGAUUUGUGACGAGACUUAGAUUGAGAUCCCUUCAAAGGCUUAAUCUUGGUGGUUGCACAAGGCUCAAGAGUUUCCCAGAAAUAGAGGUCAAGAUGGAAUCUCUAGAGUAUUUGGCUAUAGAAGAAAGUGGCAUAAGAGAAUUGCCUUCAUCAAUUGCAUAUCUUACUGGGCUUCAAAGAUUGCAUGCAAAUUAUUGUGAGAACCUUACAGGUACAUCAUUACAUCACAUUUAUGGGUUGCAACAUCUUUACUAUAUUGAAAUGAAUGGAUGCCCAAAACUGGUGACAUUUGGGAAGUUUUCAACUCGCUUAGAUACUUCACAUUACAACGGUAUGCCAUUAGCCAUUUUCAACGUAAGCCGGCUUUAUCUUAUUGGAUGCAAUUUAUCAGAAAGUGAUUUCCUUGUGCCUCUUCAAUAUGAACCAUCCAAUCUUCAUUGCUGGUCCACAUUAGAAGAUCUUGAUCUGUCGGCAAACAAUUUUGUUAGUCUUCCGGAUUGCAUUAGCAAAUUUGUCAACUUGAAUGAGCUUAGAUUGCAAGGUUGCAAGAGGCUUCGGGAAAUUCCACAUGCCCUUCCACCAAAUCUAAGUGAUUUAUAUCUGGAUGAUUGCACAUCAUUGGAAAAAAUUCCAAAGUUGCCCUUGGGGCUUAGGCGUCUGCAGUUGACUAAUUGCUUUGGACUAAGUGGCGAUGAGGUGGCAAAGUUGGAAAAUAAUUUGUUGAACUUGAAUCAGGUUCGUCUCUCCUCUUUUAAUUUCUCUUGAAAUUAAAAUAUAUAAUUUGUCGAUACUUGGGAGGGAGAACAGAUGACGAUUGUUUGUAAUUAGUUAUUUACAUAUUAUUCACUAUUGCAGGAAUCUCUUCUGUACUCUCAAUUGCAAGUUAUGUAUCCAGGCAAUGAAAUUCCAAAGCGGUUCAGCUAUGCGUCUAAAUAUCUAACAGCCACUAGGAUUGAAAGUAUACGAAAUGAAGAUGAAGAAGAUGAUGAAGAAGAUGAUGAUGAAGAUGAAGAAGAAGAUGAUGAUGAAGAUGAUGAAGAAGAUGAUGAAUAUGUUGGAGGUAGUGAAUUUAGUAUUGAAAUUCGUCUAAAUUUACAGGAGAGGGAGACGUUAUUAGGAUUGGCUCUAUCUUGUGUUUUUCCACCACGGGUAUCAGAAUUUGGAUGUUUUUACCAUUUUCGUAUUUACAUCAACGAAGCAAGUGAUUUUGAAUUAUUUCAUUGGAUGGGGAAGAGCAUGGAGACAGCUCAUAUGGGGCUCAUGUUAGUGGAUUUAGAGAAGCAGGGAGAUAUUUGUAAAGUUAAACUUCAAUUCCCCGUAUGGGCACGCAUUAAAAUGUGCGGGGUGCACCCCUUAUUCCGCAAAGAAGAUGAUCGGCAACAACAAUGGCCUUCCUUAUCGUCGAACCCAGCGAUGAUCAACCGAAACGCACGCAGAUUGAUCACAAUGUUCCUUCUGAUAUUAAGGUACGGAAAAGCCCUUGAGCUUUUCAGUUUUAGCAAUUUUUUUAUUGUUCUUUAUUGUGAUAUCAUUUUUUAAAUUAAUAUAAUAGAAAUUAAUUAAUUUAAAUUAAAUAAAGGAAAAAAUUUGAACAGUUUUCAAUCUGCAUAAUCAAAGAUUUCAUAUCUGUAGGUGGUUAGUUAUUAGAAAAACAGAAACCACAUUUGUAUCUUGAAGUACAUUUCACUAAUCAAAUCAAAUUCUAAUUAAUCAAAACAAACAAUUAUGGAAGGGAAACAUACAAGGAGAAAUGAGAUUAUAAGUACAAAAUUCAAGAUUAAUUACCUAAAAACUUGGUUUUGUUCAUAUAAGUACAAAAUUUCUACACGAAGAUCAAAGAACUACAUCGUAUGUAAACCACAUGCUUCUCUUUGUUAAUCAAGUUUACACGCAGAGAUGAAAGACUUGUAGGACUACUGUUUAAUCAAGAAUCGGGGUUUGCAACUAUUUUUUUAUUAGCAUUUACUUCUGCUUUUUCAAUUAAUGGAUACGUGGAAAAUUUGAUUUGGUGUGGAUUUAGAAAAGAAGCAGGGAGAUAUUUGUAAUGUUGAAUUUCUUUUCCUCAAGGGCGCAUGCAUUAAAAGUUGCGGGGUGCACCCACUAUUGCGCAAAGAAGACGAAUGGCUUCCCUUGUCUUUGGGACCAACAAGUAGUCUUGGAAAGACGCCUCGUCCACUUGGAUCCUCAGAUACCGUCCACGAGGAAUAUGAUCGGCAACGACAAUGGCUUUCCUUAUCUUCGAACCCGGCGGAUGAUCAUCCGAAACGCAGGCAGAUUGAUCUUAAUGGUCCUUUUGAUAUUGAGGAGGAGGAGCAAGAGCAACCAUCCACUUCAGAUGAUUCACAAUUUUUUCUUCAUUAGGAGUUUGGGUACGUACAUUUCAGUUUUAGUAUAACUAAAUAAUUUUUUUAAUUUUUUUUUGUAUUGUGAAUUUGUGAUACCUUUAUAGAUUAAUAUAAUAAAAUUAAUUAAUUUAAAUUAAAUACAUAAAAAAAAGAAAAUUACAUUUUACCUCCUCAACUUUGGGUCACAUAACAAUCUCAUAUUUUAUCUUUUAAAUAUUGCUAUAUUAUACAUCAAUUUACAAAUUUGCUGCAAUAUCAUGCCUCCAUCAACUUUUCUGUUAAUUUUUAUGUUAAAUGCUGAUGUGGUAGACACGGAUCCGCUCACUUACUUAACUAGGUUAUAAAAUUAAUUUAAUAUUAAAAAUUAAAGAAUUUUUAGUUCUAAAUUAAAUUAAAAUUAACAAAUAAAUUGAUGGAUAUUUUAACGGAGGUUUAAGAUUGCAACAAAUUCGUAAGUUAACUAAGACAUUGUAAUGUUUAAAAGAUGAGGUAUAACUUUGUUAUAAGACCCAAAGUUAAGGUGGCCCAUGUAAUUUACCCAAGAAUUUAAACAAUUUUCAAUUUGCAAAAACAAAGAUUCCAUAUCUGUAGGUGGCUACUGGCUAAUUCUUAGAAAAACAGAAACCACAUUUGUAUCCUAAAGUACUUUUGACUGUGAGUGAGUAAGCCACACUUCAAUAAUAAAACCAAAUUCUAAUUAAUCAAAACAAACAACAAUGGAAGGAAAACAUACAAGGAGAAAUGAGAUUAUGAGUACAAAUUUCAAGAUUAAUUAUCUUAAAACUUGGUUUUGUUCAGAUAUAUAAACCUACAAAGAGAAAUGGAGAUUAUAAGUAUAAAAUUUCUGCAGGAAGAUCAAAGAACUACACCGUUUGGAUGAACAUGUAGAGCACGUACUCCUCCCUCUGUUAAUCAAGUUUACACGCAGAGAUGGAAAACUUGUUGGAGUACUGUUUAUAUAAGAGUACUUUUUAUGAGCAUUUCCAAUUAACGAAUAGGUGAAAUUUUUUGAUUUGGUGUUGAUUAAUAAGAUUUAGUAUGAUUUUAAUAUCAAGAUGAGACAACAAUAUGUAGAAAACAUGGCCAUAAUUUCACAGGUCUCUGUCCCUAUAUAUUGAUUCCUUGCAGAUUCUGGGAUGGAGUUUGGGUCAAAAUUGCAGCCAACUGUGUCUUGACACAUUUUUGGUUUUGGACAAAUACUCUGUCUCCUGCCUUUUGCCAUUUAUGGCUCCUUUGUUUUCUCUGUUGCUGCUGGGACAGAGUCCAUUAGAUUUGCCCGUUUAUUUUCUUUGCUCCCACAAACGGGGUGCAGGAGGCUAAAAAAUGAGCUUUGAAAUUUAUAGGGCCCGUUUAUUUCAUUCCAUUGACAUUUUCAAGCUAACUUUUUGGCUUCUAUGAUCCACAGGUGAGUUGGCUUCGCACAGGCAAGGAAACAUCAUUGGAAGAGUUCAUCCUUAGUCCCCCCAAUGUGCUUACUGAAAAUCAGGGAAAUCAAAUACGGCUAUAUGGUCCCGAAAAGGGCUUAUCAUACAUCGCCAAACCUGCAACUGGACAGAGUUUUAUAUCUCACCACGGGAGCACGUUGAACCUAAGCAUGCCUCUCGUGGAUCCUCUGGUCACUCUCUUUGGCAGUGUCCACGAGAAGAUGUCCGAAAGGGGAAGCAAAGGCAGCAUGCUUUAUCCAAAUCUUGGAAGCAUUUUGAAUGCAGGGGAGUAUCAUAAUAAAAACGCACAUUGGGACAUAGAGAGCCAGACAGAUGGUGAGGAUCACGAAUCUGAAGCAUCCGGGGCUUAUUGUGAUGAAAGCUUGAGAAGUCCACUAAUCUCGUGCCAAACAACAGGCAUGGGAACGCCUAGGUCUUGCGGCAGUGCUUUAGGUGUGAGAUGCAAUACAAUCUUGAUGAAAGGAAAUGUACAAGCUAGCGAGGCUAUCAGUAGUAGUAUGGACACUGGUGGAGGUUGGCAGCUGGCUUAUAUAUAAGUAUUCUGACCGAGUAGGCGAAGACGGGAAGAAGGAAGGAGGAGUUCAAAAAGUGUAUUUGCAUCAGGAUAGUGCACUUUGGUGUCGGCCUGCGUCGGUUGUUUCAAUUUCUGGUGCAUUCAUGGUGGUCUGGUUAGUCAGCCUGAUGUUUCAGAAACUUUCUUGUUUGUCAACCUUCUAUGUUGUCGGGUGCAUCGAUUCUUGGAUAUUUGUUUACUUGAAGGUGCCUGAAACUAAGGGCAUGCCUCUUGAAGUCAUCUCUGAGUUCUUUGCUGCAGGUGUAAACCCAGCUGCUGCUGAUGCAUCUGCGGAUUCCAAUGAAAAGUGAUUUGAUUGUUUAGAGGGUUUGAAAUUUGGUUUGAUUUUAGACUGGGAUUGUGAGGAUAGGGCUUGAAUUGGAGAAGUGCUUAUGACUAGAUUGCUUUUUUUUAAAGUGAUUUUCUAAUCAUCAAUGUCCCUUCCUUAAUGCUGCAGAAGUAUAUUUGAUAUGGAAAACUAAUGAAAAUGGCUUGAAAACCCUAUUUGAUACCAUGUUUUCUAAUCAUAGAUUCUUAAUCUAAUCCUAAAUAUUGAUUGAAGUUUAAAACAGUCUAAUUAACCACCCUUGUAGUUCCAAAUUGAAGUUUAAAACAGUCUGCACUUAUAUUUUCCUAUCUAUUUAAUUUUAGGCAGACAUAUAUUGUUGUAGACACUCUUUCUUAUUAUUGUGAUCAUAUACCAAAUAACUCAAUAUAGAUCACAAUAAUUCUUACUGAAGUAUGGUUUAAAUUUUUGUUAGAUAUGAAACUGAUCAAAAUCAAAUUGCUCAUGCGUUACAUUGUAUUUAAAAAAAACGUGUGUCUAACACUAAUUUGAUUUGCAUACUGUCUUAUAAGAUCUUAUUUAACUCGUGACAAAUAAUAGUAUAUGACUUGCUAAUUUAUUUACAAAGGAGAAAUUCACUAACUUUACGUAUCCUAAACGGCCAAUAUAUGCACCUGAGUUUGAAUUUUCAUUCCCAUAAUAUAGAUUUUUUUUUUAAGUUUGUAUGAAAAGAAUUUUACAAUGUCUUGAAAAAAUAUGAAGGAAGAAAAAAAGAAACUGUUUUUAACUGCUGCCUAAGCUGAGCCCAGUUGCCGUGUAGCACUAGCAAGUAGCAACAGGAAAGUCUGCUGAGAAAAGUCAGUCAUCGUCUUCACUAAAUUGAGUUAGAAGAAUUAGGGGUUUAGAUUUGCAAAGAUCCAAAUUUUAUCAGUCUCUCCGAAAGUAAUCAGAGAAAUGGAAAGUCAACCAAAGAACGGAGACUCGCUGGAGAAGCGGCCCGGCAUCUUCUUCCUCGGCUCCCCCGGCGUCGGCAAACGCUCUCUCAUUACGCGUAAGCUCUCUCUCCUUUGACCGAUACUAAGCAUGAUCUGUUGAUUUGUUGGAUUACUGGGUUUGGAUUUAUACAAUGCUUCUGAUUCUUCAUCGUCAUCUCAACUGGUAGUCAAUGGGUAUGUAAAUUUUUAAUUUUGGGAUCAAAGAAUUCAAUUUUAGGAAUUUUGGGUACAAAGAAUACAACUUUUAGGAAUUUUGGCAACAAAGAAUUCGUUUUUAAUUCUUUUGAAAUGUGAAUUUUGAUGAUUUUUUUUGUGUUAAAAAAAUAGAUGGAAUAUCUCUACAAAGUACUACACAGCUGACGUUUCGGUAUGGAUGGCUCGUCUCCAUGACGAAUUUUCGAUUGAGUCCCUCCCAAUGUUUGACCAGUUGGCUGCCUUGAUCUGGUUUUCGACACAACUGAGGUUUCCGUCUCUUGCCACUCACUCUUUGUCAUUUUGUUUACUUAUUUAGCAUGAUUUUCGAUGUGUCUUGUAUCAAUUUGUUCGCGUUAUGCUGCAGUUGUCGUCUCUGUCUGCGCUUCAGAAAUAGGUAUCUUGAACUGAUCUUCAAAAGUUCGAUAUACUAGUGUGCAUAGGGAAUAAGGUUGAUCUUGUUCCAGGUCACCCGGUUCAUACCGAAUAUAGAAGACGACUGCAGAAGUUUGGAGACCAGUUUGAUGAUGACGACGAUCUAGGGUUCACUGUGUAUGGAAUCACCGAGACUGAAGGAAGCAGUUUAUUGGGGGAUGACGAGUCAUAGGCCAGAGACACAUGUUUGGAAUGGUGCACUGAGCAUAACUUUGAGUUCGUCGAAGCUUAUGCUGAUUUUAACAAAUGUAAGGCAGCACUUCUUUCUGACUCGUAUUUUAUGGCAAGUUUUAUACGAAAGUGAAAGUUUGAAGCCGGAUGAGAUGUCAAAUUGUUACUAGGCAGCAGUUUAGGUGUGGUUACAUAAAAACACAUGGUGUACCAUACAACUAAAAAUUUCUCCCACAUAAGCAGCACACAGGAUAAACUCAAUUGAACAAGUUGUUGCUCAGGCUCUUUUGUUCAUGAAGAAAUUUUUCAUUAUUGUGCCUAGAAUCAAGUUUUUAAUUUUUUUUUCACACAAAUAUCUCAUCACUUGUUUAGUGACACAUGAUGUAUCACCAUGUGUUAUGGGUAUACUGAAAAAUCUCUCGGCUCUAUCUCUGUCAUCUUAUAAUUUAAUUUCGAUUUUCGUGCCAACAUUACAAAACAUUAUUUCAAAAGUAUGAAGUGAAAGAUAUUCUAUGGAGACUAGGAAUAUAAGUUGCUUAUUAAGGUUUUUAUUUGACCAAUGUGAUAUUUUGGUUAGGUAAGUAAUUGAAGGUGAACGUUCUUAGUUAUCUGAAAACAUUUUUCUGAUGGUUUUAGAAGCAGCCCAAGUGACCGGUUCGAUAUUUAGGUAAGGAGGUAAAUGAUUAUGUACAAGCGUCGAUAACAUAUUCAAAAUCUAAAGCACUUAUAAACUAUCAUGAAGUAAACGUUCUUGAUUAUCUAAAGCACUUGCAAAAUUAUUAAGAAAAGGAUAUUCUUAGUUAUCUGAAAACACUUUUUUCUCAAUAAUUUUUAGAGGCAAUUUCGCAGUGUUGAGAUGUUAGCUUCGAAGGCACUCCAACUUGCAAAGAGUGCUCCACAAAGUUCAACAAAAGUAGAAACAAAAUCAAUUAAAAAUCCCAACUCACAAGUGAGAGCAAUGGUUAUGCUUCAAGGUCCAACCAUCUGACCUCUCUAAGUUAGGCUUCAAUUUUACUUCAUUUCCCACUCCAAAUUUCCAAGCAUCUGUACCCCAUUGACCCUUUGCCCGCUUUAAGCAAUCUAGAAAAAUCAUUUACAUAAGAGAAAUACUAAGUGAAUUCUUUCAAAACGAACUUUUCAUAACUCUUCGUCACAAAAAAUAAUUCAAUUUUAUUGUCUCCUUUGCAUGCAAGAAUUCAAUUUAUACCUAGCUGAUGUACAUCAUUGUAUAAAAUUCCAAAACUACCAGUGCUUUGGAUUCUGGACCUGACUAAUCACUGUAGACUAAGUAGUGAUGAGAUGGCAAAGUUGGAAAUAACUCGUUGAAUUAGGUUCAUCUCUUCUUCUUAAUUUCUGAUGAAAUGAAAAUUAAUCUUGUUGAUAACUGUAAUUAUUUAACUAUAUAUAUACAUUACUGCAAGAACUUCUUCUGCGUUCUGAAUUGAAAAUUGUUCUUCGAAGCAAUGAAAUUUCGAAGUGGUUCAGAUAUACAUAAAAAAAUUAAAUUUUUUUUCAUUGUGACGGGAAUACAGGUUACCACCACGGAUGUUUAUGUAAAUGGUGGGAAAUUUUAUUUUUUAAGUUAUUAACCUUUUAACAUACAUAUCCCAACAUUUGUAUAAUGACAUAUGGUAUACUAUUUCGUGUGCCGGUCACAUUAAAAAAUCACUCUGGUUAAGAAAAAAAUGCAUUAUUAGUCUAAAAGACCACCGAAUGUCGGUGGGACCAAGUUUGAUUGCACUGCUCCCUCUUUUUUAUUCUUGAAUUAAAAAAAAUCAAAAAGGAGAAUUAAUAGGUAAAAGUAAAAAAAUAAAAAAAGUACAAAAGAAGGAAUCGGGUGUGAAGAAAAUCACUCUACAAUACGUAAUACUUUUGUUACAUUUUUGAAAGUCAAUUGCAUGUUGAUGUGCUUUUAACUUUUGAGUACAGAAUACUUAAUAUUUGUCAAUCAAUCAUCGGUAUAUAUCAUGUUGGAAGAGGAUUCCCAUUGGAUUCUUUUUGUGGAGAUUUAGGUGAUUUUCUAAUUCUGCGUAUUUAUCGUUAUUGUGUAGUAAAAAAUCAUAUUAAAUAUUUAUAUUUAAAAUUAAAAUUAAAUAUUAUUUGACGAAAAUUGAUCGAACGAUGAACAAUAAACGCACCAAAUUAAAGGAUCUCCCUAAAUUCCCAAAAAAAAAAAUCUGAAGAUGAUCCUCUUCCUAUCAUGUUGAUAUCGUGGAGCACAAGGUAAUAGUUAGCAAACGAAAUUGAUAGGAUAGGGGUAAUGUGAUUAAUACAAGUGCAAAGACGACAACGAGGGAUAAAGUGAUACUUUCGUGCUAGUUCCGAGGACAUUUUGGUAAUUAAGCCUUUAUAUUUACUAAUCUUGAUUUGAUUUAUAAUUAGUACUCAUUUUUGGCGUCGUAUCAUUCUGACAUGGAUUCCUUCCGGAUCCAUUAUGUGGGGAACUAGGGAUAUUUACAUCUCAGUCGUUUAUUGUGUAUCGCAUGAUCAUAAAUCAGUUGAUUUUUAUUUAUUUAAAAUUAAACACAAAUUGUACAUGAUGAAAACUGAUCGCAUAAUAUACGAUGAACGCUGAGAUGUGUUGAAUCUUUAUCGAUCCCUUUUUUUUUAACGUUUAACAAUUGAACUCAUUAAUAUUAAAAUAGAUAAAAAUAGAGUACGAACAAAAAAAAAUCUUAAAUGCUUUUGUUGCAGUCUUUCAAGUUAAUUGCGUAUUUUCAUGCAUUUUAACCUUUGUAUGUACAUAAUUGAUUUGUCAUACGGUCAUAGUAGCUUCAUAUGACAUCGUUUAUGUGUCAUGCGGGUGAAAAGAACGUGUGCUUCAAUAACAAACGAAAAUAAUAAAUAAAUAAUAAAACUAAUGAAAAUGGUUUGAAAAUUUGAGUUUUAAUGAUAAAGACAAAACAAAGGAUAAAGUAAAUAGUAUCAGGAUUGACUUUUUAGUAUAAAAAUAUGGUUUUUCGUUAAAGUGAACAGUACCGAAAAGUUUUUUUGUUAAAAUUCCCUAAAAAAAAAAAUCAAUCUUUAUGAAUAGAAGUUGCAACCAAAGCUCCUCUCCAUCAAUUCUGGAAGGUAGCACGUAGGAAACUGCUUUGUGGCUGUGGGUAGGCAGAAAAGCAUGAGGCUUGACAAGAGAAAGUCCCCAAGUUUAUUUGGCUUUUAGUAUAAAUUAUUUUCUCAUUUGUCGAAGAAAAAAUCACCUUAAAUGACUCACCUUUCUUCAGGUAUGCGACAUUAUUUAUAUGGUUCAAAAUGACACAAACCGGAUAUAAAUAAUGUGGGGGUGUGGUUAAGGAAAAAAUGCAUUAUUACUUUGGUAACUCAAAAACCAUCUAUUGUUGGUGAAACCAGAAUUUUCCUAACAUUUGCUCACUGACGUUAUCGUUUUGUUGAAAAAUAUAAAUAAAUUCUGCACCUGCAUCCUGUUUUCAAUGCACUGCAUAUUCCUCUGCUUCUCUUGUUUUUUUUUUUUUUUUUUUUUUUUUUUGUUGUUCUCGUUACGAAAAUGAAAAUUAUCCAAAAUGAAUGGUAUUAGCUAUUCCCAUCCUAAAUGGAAGCGUGAAGGGAUUGUAAGAACUUUAACACAGAUCGAUGAUAUGCCAAUUGAAUUACCAAUGUUCUGAAACAAGUCAAGUGACAAAACUUAUGAACAAGAACAAGGAUUGCCGAGAACAUACCUGCAGAAUUUGAACUUGAAGAAACCAUAACAGCCUCUGUGUUCAAAACCUUCUCCUCUUUUACGAUCACAAUAGCUUUUCUAAUCAAUAGGACUUAGAACAACAUAAGCUAAUAUCGCAAGAGCAGUGGUUUGAACCAUAAAUAUAUAGUGCUCCUUCGUCCAUUCCCUAUCAGAAUUGGACUAGGAUUCAAAGACAUACAAACCAUAAAGAUUCAUGAGACUUUAUAAAGUUCCAACACAAAGUUCUUUUCCAAAACCAAUUGGAACUUCUCUCAAGACUGCAUUCCUUAUCAGAUUUAGACUUCUUUAUAAUAUCAAUUAUCCCAAGACUUAUAAGAAUCAUACUCAUACUCUUACAUUCUCCCACUUGAGUAUGAUUCAUCACAACAGAUAAUCAUCUCAAAUUAUAAAGGUGAUCAGAUAAGUCAUUCACCAUCACACUAGUACAUAGACACAACCUGCUUACAUAAACCAAAACAAUGAAUUUAUAAUUGCCUAUGCAACACAAAAUACAGAUUUAACUUACAAAUCACAAUGUCCAGUUUAUGUUCAUAGCAAUGUAUCUAAGCUCAAAUUUAUAUAAAAAUUACCAAAUGUUUUGGAUAAAAGCUUAUCCUCACAUACAACUUACCUAUGCAUUUUACCAAACCAAUUUGCUCCCACUUAUCUAGGCCAUACUUAACACAAACAAGUUAAGUAUAAGUUAAUAUCAACUGUAUUAACUAACAGUCAUUGCAAUACACUGAAUGUCUUAUUAAUGUGAUCAAUUGCCGCAACCAAUACGCAAACAAAUUCCAUGAUCACAUUCAUCCAAUUCGUAUUUACAACAAUGUGAUUUUACUUGACCAGAGCAAACACAUAAAUUGAUUUGCUCCCACUAUAUCAAGUUAAGUUUAGUUCCAGCAAAUAGCACUAAACUUCUCAUUACUUAAACAAAUUAAGUAACAUAAAUAAUUACCAAUUGCUUCAAUAAAACCAUAAUCUGGUUUUCAAGCAUCCAUAUGAAUUAUAAUGGCUGGCUUAAAUACUCUUAGCCUUAUGCUUAUAUUCGAACAUACGAUUCUCCCACUUAAGCAUAAGGAGAAUAUACUGCACAGUCAAUAAAGAAAUCGGAGAUAUGAACCAAUUGGUUCCCGAUUCCUUACCUAUUGCAUAAUCUCAGUUUAGUUAUAUACACCUAAACCAUUAUACAAAACAGUCUAUGUAUCAAAAGAUAGUCACAAUCCAUUCGGAAAAACUUAUCUCACAUAAACUCAAAAUCACUAGUUUCAACAAUGAUCAAAAUCAGAAUAGCAAGCACAAUAUUUUUGCAUUCAAUUUGAUCUUAACUAGUUCAAUAUCCAUCGAGCAAGAUCAACCAAAAUUUGAUAAUGUUUGGAUAUAUAUGACAACAAUAUAUCUUGAUUAAAACGAGAUAAUCAAGACUACUAUUUCUUCUGGAGAACUCGAAGUUCAUCUUUCUCCUUAUUUGUGAUUUCAACCAAAAUAUAAUAGCGGAAGCAUGCAUCAUGAAAUCACAAAUAUACAUAUACAAUAAGCAUGCAUCGAUAUAUAUACAUGAUAAGAUUAGUCGACAAUAAUCCAGAUUAAAAAUCUUCAUGCCUUUAAUUCAUUGUCAACACCAUCAUCAAUUAUAUACAGAUUCGUAAGCAAGUCCUUGGAGAAAUAAUGAUAACUGCAUAUCAUUAGUCUUAUGAAUUUCCAAUAAGAUGACAAAUAAUUAUUUGUUUUCCGAUUCAUAAUAGAAUAUAUAUUUUGUAAAUGGCUAAAAGUUUAUUGUCACAAGACUCAUUAUAGGCGGUCAAUAAAACAUCUACCUUAUAUAUUCAUUUGUUCAUAUAUUUUCUUGUAUGCUUGCAUCAAUAUUCAGAGAAACUUAUGCAAGUUCUAUUUGAUAUAGAUAAAGCCGCAUGCCCAUAAUUACAACAUCUAUGCAUGAAUGCUAUCUAGAUAUGAAUACAAAUUUAAUUCAUAUAUGCGAUUUAUGUAUAAGUCACAAAGCAAUUGGCAUCCAUUUUAUAUAUGCAUUCCAUGUUGUUGCUUUAUAUUGCUUGCCGACUUGCACAUGAUAUGCAGUCAAAUCCAUUCCAACCCAAACUUGAUAUAAAUCAAACCAAUUGAAAAUCAGGAAUUGACAAUAAGAUGUGCACUUGUGCUGCUCCCCGCAAUUAAAUGUAUUGAGAUUCAUACAUGAAACAAUGCAUAUACACAGACUCUUUAAUGAAAAAUGGAAAAGUAUAUCUAGACAAAUUUGUUUAUGCAGCAAAGUAUGAUUCCAGACAUCUCACAUAAAUCACAAGUUGGCAUCUAUAGGGAUUUCGAGUUUAAUCAUGCCUUUACAAUUUAUAUAAAUAAACAAGCAUACUCGAAAUAGCAAAAGACCUAAUCAUUAUGCUCCAACUCAUCACACUAUAAUCAUGCAUAUAGGAGAACAAUUAAUCACGCAUGAAACAGUGAAGUGAGUUACAUGAAUGCAUCAUUGGACUCGUAUUCGUCAACCAAUUGCAAUUCCUCGACUCCAAAUUAACGAAAUUACUUAUCCAUCAGUGCUCGAGAAUCGUCCAUGCGGAUUGUCAUCACUCCAAAUUCCCAUGCGGAUUGCCAUCAUAAUCAACACAGCGGAAACAAGAAUUUUGAAAAUCAGAAUUACGAUGUUUAUGAGAGAUGUAUACUGAUAAAUUACUAUACUUAUCACCAAAUAAGCAAACAUGAAAAAGUUCUCUCAACCCCAGAUUGAGAAACACGGUUUCAGAAUAAGUAACUAAUCUUGACACCAAUUCCAUUUAACUCAAUCUAAAUGUUAAACAAAAUUCAAGAAAUUGCAAUAAGAUUUCAAAAUACAUACCCUUUUAUGAAUGGUUUCAGGAUCGUAUCAAUCUUAGCAUCAAUCAUGUAUAAAGAUUGCAGUAUUGUAUAUAUUACAUCAGGAGUUUUGUAUGUAUCAAGGAUCAAAAUUCGAUAAACUUGAUAUAAUACAUCAGGAGUUUUGAAUUAUAAACAUACCUUUGGGAACAAAAGAAAAAUAUAUAUUAUCGCAAAUCCAAAUCUUAAACAAAGAUGGUUGUGAACGAGAAGAUCUAGAAGCAAAGCAUGUUUGGAUCAUCACAACUUCAAACCAAGAAGAGAAAAAAGGUGCAAACCCAGAAAAUUUCGUACAAGGUUAUGAGUUUUGCCAAUAUUCAAUUUAAACAAGGUUAUACGUUUUCUAGGUUUGGAACGUUUAAGUGUUCAUAGCUUUUCCAUCAGAUUCUUGUGUAAAUUUCGAACUCAAUGACAAUAAUCAACUAGGCUCUGAUACCACAUGUAAGAACUUUAACACAGAUCGAUGAUAUGCCAAUUGAAUUACCAAUGUUCUGAAACAAGUCAAGUGACAAAACUUAUGAACAAGAACAAGGAUUGCCGAGAACAUACCUGCAUAAUUUGAACUUGAAGAAACCAUAACAGCCUCUGUGUUCAAAACCUUCUCCUCUUUUACGAUCACAAUAGCUUUUCUAAUCAAUAGGACUUAGAACAACAUAAGCUAAUAUCGCAAGAGCAGUGGUUUGAACCAUAAAUAUAUAGUGCUCCUUCGUCCAUUCCCUAUCAGAAUUGGACUAGGAUUCAAAGACAUACAAACCAUAAAGAUUCAUGAGACUUUAUAAAGUUCCAACACAAAGUUCUUUUCCAAAACCAAUUGGAACUUCUCUCAAGACUGCAUUCCUUAUCAGAUUUAGACUUCUUUAUAAUAUCAAUUAUCCCAAGACUUAUAAGAAUCAUACUCAUACUCUUACAGGGAUGAGAUAAGGAAUGGGACCCUGACAAAGACUGGUAAUAGUAUUAGUAAUUAGUCUUCGGUAGUUCAAAGACGACCGUGGAACCAAGUUUGAAUGCACUCCUCCCCUUUUUUUUAUUCUUGAAUUAAAAAAAUCAAAAAGGAAAAUUAAUAGGUUGAAAUAAAAAUAUAAAAAAAGUACAAAAGAAGGAAACGGUGUGAAGAAAGUCCCUCUACAAUACGUAAUACUUUUGUUACAUUUUUGAAAGUCAAUUGCAUGUUGCCGUGCAUUUUAAUUUUUGAGUAUAGAAUACUUGAUAUAUUGUCAAUUAAUCAUCCGUAUUUUGUCAAUUAGUGUCUGGUACCUAUGGAUCCUUUAAUCUGGACCGUACAACUAACAGUCCUGAUUUGAUUUGCACAUCAAUCAAUGGUCCAAAUUAAAGGAUCUAUAAGCUCCAUAACGAAUCCAAUUCCUAAAAAAUUUGAUCGUAUAAUGAAUAAUGAAUGUACCAAACUCCCACAAAGAAGAUCCGGAGAGAAUCCUCUUCCUAUCAUGUCGAUAUCGUGGAGCAAAAGGUAACAGUCAGCAAACGAAGUUGAUAGGAUAGGGGUACUGUGAUUGAUACAAGUGCAAAGACGACGAGGGAUAAAGUGAUACUUUCGUGCUAGUUCCGAGGACAUUUUGGUAACUAAGCCAUAUUUAGUACUCUUUUUUGGUGUCGUAUCAUUCUCUCUCUCAAAGAUUAAUUAUAAGAGAACUUUAACAAAAAGCUUCAUGUAUUAUUUAUUUUAAUAAAAAAUUAUAUUUUUACACUAAAAAGUUAAUUAUGGUAUUAUUCACUUUAGUUUUUUUUUUAUAGUUAAAACUCAAAGUUUUCAAGUAUUUUUUAUUAAUUUUCCUUAAUUAUGAUUUACAAAUAGUAGCUGAAAUGGGUCUCUUUUUUCUUUAUAUGCAAUUGUAUUUCAUUACUUCUUUUGUCUUUUUCUUCAGCACUGAAAAAAAAAAAAGAAAAUUGCUUUCAUACAUCAUUUCUCAUUUUAUCACACUUUUGUUUUGUUGUAUUUAGAUUGAAAUCACUAGCGACAAAAAUUGUCCGAAUGGAAUCGUUUUAGUUGUUCCCGACUAAUAUAAAAGUCCUAACAAAGACCGACAAGAGCAACGUGGGGCUGGUAAAAAAAAGUUGAGUCAAAAUCGCUACCCAGAAAAUUGUCCGGAAAGAAUCUUUUUAUAGCUGUUCCCAUCUGUCUAGUUUGAUGAAUGGAAGUUCCGAGGAAGGUUGCUUUGCUUUAACUUUAUCACGUUCACAUUGAAGGUGGUAGGAAACUGCUGCUUCACAUUGAAGGCAGAAAAUCAUGCGAAAGGCCUGAUAUAUAACAAGAACGAAUUCUUGGUGCAAGUACCAGUCCAGCAUCCAUACUCAAUUCUUUGAAAGGCCCUUACCUAGAUUUCUCCAAUGAACAAUCAACUUGUCUCUUCUUCUUCCUUCAGCAGUCCUCCUUUGUGGAAGUACGAUGUCUUUUUGAGCUUUAGAGGAGAGGAUACACGAACCAAUUUUACAGAUCAUUUUUACAAGGCGUUGGACGGCAAGGCAAUCACCACGUUCAUUGAUCACCAACUUAAAAGAGGAGAAGGAAUAUCUCAGGCUCUUCUCGAAGCAAUUGAUGAGUCGAGAAUUUCGAUCAUUAUAUUAUCUAAAAACUAUGCAUCUUCAAGAUGGUGCUUGGAAGAGCUCGUACGUAUCCUUGAAUGUAGAAAGUCAAGGAAGCAAAUUGUUUUGCCAGUUUUUUACAAAGUGGAUCCGUCCGAUGUACGAAAGCAAACGAGUAGUUUGGUGACGCGUUUACAGAAAAGUUCAAAUUCGAAGACAACAAGGAGAAGAUCCUCACAUGGAGGAGUGCUCUUACAGACGCAGCAAAUUUAUCAGGAUAUACUUUCAAAGAGGGAGAGUACGUAUAUUUCUUCCCCUUAUACUGCCUUUAAUCUGAAAAGAUGACUUUACCUGAAAUUCAAUUUUCUUUACAUAAAACCCAACCUAGUUUUUGUGCUUGACUAAUUAAGCUUAACAAGUUACAUUUUAUAUCUUUUGGUUUCCUAAAAUACCCCUAAUAACAAUUUGAUUCUCUAGCAUAUUUAUAUCCAUUUAUUGUGUUAAACCUAUUGCAAGUUUAACUGGUCACUAGUACUCAUUGUGUUAAAUUUCGAAUUGGCUGGAUUAAUUACCCGAGUGUACCCAUUUUUUGUUGUUCAAAUUUUAAAUUUAUUAAUAUUUUUUGGUUUCCUAAUUUUGUUUGAAAAAUCAAUUUACCUACGUUUUUGAAAAAUUAACUUACAAAUUACUGAUUUUGAUUAAUAAUGUACCUAUGGUGUUGUUUUAUAAUUUACCGAUUACUAAUGAUGUUAGGUAAAUUAGUACUUUUAGGAAAGAAAUGAUACAUAUCCAUACAAAACAUCUUUUUUCAUCCGAACAACAACAUAACAUUUAAAUGCAAAAAAAAAGGUCCAUGUCUUAUGGAAAGAUGUUAGGAUUUUACAGAGUAAUAAACGGCAAUGUGAAAUUGUGAAUAAUGGAAUAGGGGUAAAUCAUUUUAUUAAUGGGUCAAUUAUUAUCUUACAUGAUUCUGUAUUUAGUUGCAAGCGGCACAUGCUUGACUGUAUCAGUGAUUAUCCAUACCUCUGUUUUUUUUCAAUCUUUUUUAUCUUUUCAUUCUCUUCUUCUUUUUACCUUUUUUUCUUUUUUCAAAGAAAUAUAGCAUAAAAAGUUGAUUGACUAAAUGUGUCAAUUUUUUUAUAUAAACUGGUAGGUAUGAAGCUACAUUUAUCAGUAAGAUCGUGGAGGAGAUCUUCGUCCCCGUACAACAAUGCACGCAUUUGAAGGUAGCCAAUUACCCAGUUGGAAUGGAGUCUUGUGUAGAAAAGGUGAAAGAGCUUUUAGGUGUCAGGGGAAAUGAUCCGUGUGUGGUUGGGAUUUGGGGGUCAUUUGGAAUCGGCAAGACAACAGUUGCAAAAGCUGUUUAUAAUGCAAUUGCUUAUGAGUUUGAAGGUAGUUGUUUCCUGGCAGAUGUUCGAGAAACGUCAAUACAAUACAGAGGCCUACUCCAACUACAAAACACUCUUCUGAGUGAGAUUGGUGGUUCAGAGUGGAAAGCUGUCAAUCUUCAUAGAGGAAACAUCCUUAUAAAGAAACUGUUGAGGGGAAAGAAGAUUCUCUUAAUUCUUGAUGAUGUGGAUGAUUUUGAGCAGUUAGACAACUUGGUUGAAGUCCAUCAGUUAGGUGAGGGUAGCAGAGUGAUCAUAACCACAAAAAAUAAAGGAUUGCUGGAAUCUUGUAAAGUUGAGCUGAUAUACAAGGUCCAAAAGUUAGAAGACAACAAAGCUAUUGAGCUUUUUAGUUGGAAUGCCUUCGGAAAAGAAAAACCUCCAGAUGAUUAUUUGGGACUCGCACGACGUGCAAUAGCCUAUGCUCAAGGCCUCCCGUUAGCUCUUAAUCUUAUAGGUUCUCAUCUGCGUGGUAAAAAUAUAGUUCGUUGGCAAGAUAUUUUGGAUAGUUACGAUGAAGAACCUCAUAGAGGGAUUCAAAGAGUACUUCGGAAAAGUUAUGAUACCUUGGAAUAUGUCCAACAACAACUUUUCCUAGACAUUGCAUGCUUCUUCAAGGGUGAAGAUAAAGACAAAGUGUUACAGAUAUUAAAAGGAUCAAAUCUCAAAGUACGUCAACAUUGUAUUGAUGUUCUCGUUGAGAAUGCCAUUAUAACUAUUGAACAUAAUAGGAUUUUGAUGCAUGACUUGCUAGAACAAAUGGGUAAGCAUAUAGUUUGGGAAGAAUCGCCCACUGAACCAGACAAGCGGAGCAGAUUGUGGCUUCCUAAAGAUGUGUACCGUGUUCUAACUGAAAACAGAGUAAGUAGAAUAUAUGUUCUUGCAUUUGAUUUAAUUGGCAUGAUUUUGGAAACACAAAAAAAAUUAAAAUCCUUUUGAUUUCUUUGUUAUAUGAUUUGUUUGUUAACACUAUUUAUUUUUCCAUCUUAGGGAACAAAGAAAAUUAAAGGCAUUGUGGUGAAGUUGCCCGUGCCAGAUGUGAUACCCUUGAAUACAAAAAGCUUUUCCAAGAUGGUAAAUCUUGAAUUUUUUAUAAUUCGUAAUGCACACUUUUCUGAAUGCGUUGAGGAUUUACCCGACGAUUUGAGGUGGAUUGAAUUCGGUGGGCUUCAUUACUGGGGAUCCAAUAUUCUUCAAAAGCAUAUACUUACAUUCAAUUUGCAAUCCAAUUGUCAUAUCAGAAAUCUUGUCACGUUUAUUAUGCCAAACAGUGACAUCAAACAAUUGAAGGUGUUUCAGGUAUGUAUACUUAUUAUAAAUGAAUUUGGACAAUUACUAAUUUAAUUGUAUAUUUUAUUUUUGGAAAAAGAAAUUUGCCAAAGCUUUUCAUUGUUAAUUAUUCUAUUUAAAGUUUGUGAUUUUUUUUUCUUUUGAUUUUGAUUUCACAGAUUUGGCAAUGCUUACAUCUUUGAAUUUAAGUGGUUCCCAAUUCUUAGAAAAAAUUCCCAACUUAUCCGGAAGUCCAAACCUAAAGAAGUUGAUUCUAAAUGAGUGUAACCGUUUAGUUGAAGUUGAUGAUUCUGUUGGAUUCCUUGAUAAACUUAAUAGAUUAAGUCUUAAUGGGUGCUCUAGGCUUGAGAGAUUUGCGACGAGACUUAGAUUGAGAUCCCUUCGUAGACUUACUCUUUAUGGUUGUACAAGGCUCAAGAGUUUCCCAGAAAUAGAGGCCGAGAUGGAAUCUCUAUAUGAUUUGGACAUAUCAAAAAGUGGCAUAAGAGAAUUGCCUUCAUCAAUUGCAUAUCUUACCGGGCUUAAAUUUUUGUCGGCAAGUUAUUGUGAGAACCUUACAGGUACAUCCUUACAUCACAGUUAUGGGUUGCAACAUCUCUACCGUAUUGAAAUGAUUAGAUGCCCAAAACUGGUGACAUUUGGGAAGUUUUCAACUCGCUUAGACACUUCACAUUACAACGGUAUCCCAUUAGCCAUUUUCAACGCAUGCAAGCUUUAUCUUGUUGAAUGCAAUUUAUCAGAAAGUGAUUUCCUUGUGCCUCUUCAAUAUGAACCAUCCAGUCUUCAUUGCUGGUCCACAUUAAUAGAACUUGGUCUGUCGGGAAACAAUUUUGUUAGUCUUCCGGAAUGCAUUAGCAAAUUUGUCAACUUGGAAAUACUUUGGUUGACUGGUUGCAAGAGGCUUCGGGAAAUUCCACAUGCCCUUCCACCAAAUCUAAGGGAAUUAUAUCUGAAUGAUUGCACAUCAUUGGAGAAAAUUCCAAAGUUGCCCUCGGGGCUUAGGUGUCUGCAGUUGACUAAUUGCUUUGGACUAAGUGGCGAUGAGGUGGCAAAGUUGGAAAAUAAUUUGUUGAACUGGAAUCAGGUUCGUCUCUCCUCUCUUAAUUUCUCUUGAAAUUAAAAUAUUUAAUUUGUUGAUACUUGGGAGGGAGAACAGAUCAUGAUUGUUUGUAGUUAUUUACGUAUUAUUCACUAUUGCAGGAAUUUCUUCGGUGCUCUCAAUUGCAAGUUACGUAUCCAGGCGAUGAAAUUCCAAAGCGGUUUAGCUAUACCUCUAAACAUCUAACAGCCACUAGGAUUGAAAGUGUAGGAAAAGGUACAAGGCAACAUGAUUAUGUUGGAGGUGGUGAAUUUAGUUUUGAAAUUUCUCUAAAUUUACAGGAGAGGGAGACGUUAUUAGGAUUGGCUCUAUCUUGUGUUUUUCCACCACAAUUGACUGGAGGGAUUUGUUAUUACUACAAUCUUCGUCUUUACAUCAACGAAGCAAGUGAUUAUCAACAAUUUAGGUGGAUAGUGGAAGGCAAGGAGGCUCAUGUGGGGCUAGUGUUAGUGGAUUUAGAGAACCAGGGAGAAAGCCCAUGUGGGGCUCAUGUUAGUGGAGAUAUUUGUAAAGUUAAAGUUCAAUAUCCCAACUACUCGAGCAUUAAAAGCUGCGGGGUGCAGCCCCUAUUGCGCAAAGGAGAUGAACGGCUUCCCUCGUCUUUGGAACCAACGAGUAGCCUUGGAUCCUCAGAUAUCGUCAAUGAUGAAUAUGAUCGGCAACAACAAUGGCCUUCCUUAUCUUUGAACCCAGCGGAUGAUCAUCCGACACACACACAGAUUGAUCACAAUGUUCCUUCUGAUAUUGAGGAGGAGCAAGAGCAACCGUCCACCAUUUCUGAUUUACUAGGAGUUUGGGUACGUACAUUUCAGUUUUAGCCAUUUUUUUAUUAUUCUUUAUUGUGAUAUCUUUUUUAAAUUAAUAUAAUAAUAAUUAAUUAAUUUAAAUUAAAUAAAGGAAAAAAUUUGAACAGUUUGCAAUCUGCAUAAUCAAAGAUUUCAUAUCUUUAGAAACAAAGAUUUCAUAUCUGCAGGUGGUUAGGCCAUCUCCAACCGAUAGCUGGUCAGAGGGUUCGUUUUAACCAUCUGGCCCUCCAAGAUUCUUCAAGAUAUUAAUAUUUUAAUGAACAGUACAUGACCAUAUUUGCCUCCGUCUCCAACCGAGGGUCAUAGGGCCAAACAUAAUUUAUUAUUUAAAAACUACAACUUAAAUUCAAAUCCAACGGCUAAGUGACAAAUUUAAUUUAAUGUUGUUUCAUGUUACUUAAUUUAAUUUAAUGUUGUAUAAUGGCUUAGGAAGUUAUAGGAAAAAAAUAGAAUUUAAAAAAAAUAUGAAACAAAUUUUGUGAAAUAGAAGUUAUAGAAAAAAAUGGAGUUUAAAAAAAAAUAUGAAACAAGUUUUGUGAAAUAAAAGUUAUAGGAAAAAAAAUAGAAUUUAAAAAAAAUAUGAAACAAAUUUUGUGAAAUAGAAGUUACAGGAAAAAAAUGGAAUUUAAAAAAAAUAUGAAAUAAAUUUUGUGAAAUAGAAGUUAAAGGAAAAAAUUGAAGUUGUAUGAAAUUUUUUGUGAAAUAGAAGUUAUAGGAAAAAAUAGAAGUUAUAGAAAGUUAUAGGAAAAAAUAGAAGUUAUAUGAAAAUUUUUGUAAAUAAAAAAUAAUAAUAAAAAUGUAAAAAAAAAUAUAUAUCAAAUGAAACCCAACGGCUAGCUGAGUCAGCUAGCCGUUAUAUUAAAAAAAAUUCCAAACUAUUAGUGUCGGUUAUAAUUGACACUAAUAGUAAAUAAAUAAAAAAAUUUGCCUAUGAAUACCUAUUACUGUCGGUUAUAACCCACAGUAUUAAAAAAUUCUUCUUUAAUGUUGUCGGUUAUAUCUGACAGCAAUAGGGAAACUAUAAAAAAAAAAAUAGCCAGCCCGGGGCUGGCUGGCCGAAAGCAGCCAGCCCUUUGGCCCUUUGAAAUUCCGUGGGGCCCUCCCAGAUUCCAGAGCCCUCGGUUGGAGACGGUUUUAGGGCUAUUUUCGGCCCUCUGGCCCUCUGGACCCUUCGGUUGGAGAUGGCCUUAGUUCUUAGAAAAACAGAAACCACAUUUGUGUCUUGAUGUACCUUUUACUGAUAAAAUCAAAUUCUAAUUAAUCAAAACAAACAAUUAUGGAAGGAAAAUAUACAAGGGGAAAUGAGAUUAUAAGUACAAAAUUCAAGAUUAAUUACCUAAAAACUUGGUUUUGUUCGUAUAAGUACAAAAUUUCUACACGAAGAUCAAAGAACUACAUCGUUUGGAUGAACAUGUAAACCACAUGCUUCUCUCUCUGUUAAUUAAGUUUACACGCAGAGAUGGAAGUCUUGUAGGACUACUGUUUAAUCAAGAGUCCCAGGUUUGCAACUAUUUUUUUAUUAGCAUUUACUUCUGCUUUUUUAAUUAAUGAAUAGGUGGAAAUUUGAUUCGGUGUUGAUUAUAAGAUUUAGUAGAAUUUUAAUAUCAAGAGGAGAUAACAAUGUAGAAAACAUAGCCCCUUGAAUCAACUUGAUUGAUCUCGACCCUCAUGAUCUCACGGGUCUCGGCCUGCUUCGGUUGUUUAAAUUUCUGGUGUAAGCCAAGAAAGUGAACUCAUUAAUGUUGCUGCUCUAGUUAGUCAGCCUGCUUUUUCUGACAAGCCUGCGGUCUCUUUAUGUUCCACCAUGGGAAGCUGGGAGUGAAGCGUGCAUUAGUUGUUGGAAUUGGACUUCAAAUUCUUCAACAGGUUUGGUAGAAAAAGUUAAAAGGAAAAUUUUAUUUAAAACCAUGUAACUUUUUUUCUACACUCCUCAGGUGUAUGAGCAGGCCCGCGUCGCCAUUCUUCUAUCUAACAUAGGGUUGAAUCCAACAUUUGCAUCUCUCUUCGUAAGUGCCAUUACAAUUGUCUUAAUGGAUAUAGCUGGCAGAAGAUAAUUUCGAACACCUUCGGUUUCCUAGAACCGAUUACUAACUUUUAAUCAAAAUUAUAACUAGGGUAAAUUAUCCAAACGAUAAAAUAAAGUUUAGUGUCACUCCAUUUCCAUUUUAGACUAAAAGUUUGUAACCGGUUCUAUCUAUAUGCAUAUUUGCAAAAAAUAAGCUUUCCUUUUUGCCUUUCUUGGUAUGCCGGUCGCUGCUGCUCUCCACAUUACAUUGUCCCUCACUCUUCUUGUAGUUGCCAACAUUGUCAACUUGGGAACUGUUCUGAAUGCAACAAUUUCCACCGCCGUGCCUGCUGCUUCGUCAUGGCAUUUGGAGUAACCCCGAACAUUCUCUGCGCUGAGAUCAUCCCUACGAGCAUCCACGACCUCUGCAUUGCCAUCUGAGCCCUCACAUUCUGGAUUGGAGACAUCAUCAUCACUUACGCAUUUCCUGUCAUGCUCUUCUCCGUUGGAUUUGCUGGCAUCUUGGGAAUCUAUGUUGUCCGGUGCAUUGUUCCUGGAUAUUUGUUUACUUGAAGGUGCCUGAAACUAAAGACAUGCCUCUUGAAGUUAGCUGCUGCUGAUGCAUCUGUUGGAUUCCAAUGAUAACUGAUUUGAUUGUUCAGAGGAUUUGAAAGUUUGGUUUGGCUUUAGACUGGGAUUACGAGGACAGGAUUUGAGUUGGAAAAAGUGCUGAUGACUGGAUUGCAUUUUUAGAAAGUGAUUUUGUAAUCAUCACUAUCCCUCACUUAAUUCUGCACCAGUAUCUUUGGUACCAAAAAAUCAAUUCUCUUGGGUCAUAAGCUCAUAAGUGACAUGUUUUGUUCGACUAUUUGCCUCACUUAAUAUUAAUUUGACCUGCCUACUUUAACUAUUUAUUUAUACAAAUAUUUGUACUAUCUUUCUAAUAGAGAUAAGACGUAUAUAUAUUUGCGAGCCGUACUUCUAUUAGAAAAAUUAUAUGUAAAUAGAUGAUAAAUGUAGCAUUACUAUUUUUAUAAUAUGUUUUAAAAUUUUGAAAAAAAAAAAAAAGGAACUGUUUUUAACUGCAGGCCUAAAGCAGAGCCCUGUUGCCGCCUAGCAAUAGAAAAGUCUUCACCAAAUUGAGUUAGAAGAAUUAGGGUUUUAGAGCUCCAAAGAUCCAAACUUUAUCAGUCUCUCCGAAAGUAAUUAGAGAAAUGGAAACCCAAUCAAAGGACGGAGACUCUCUGGAGAAGCGGCCCGGCAUCUUCUUCCUCGGCUCCCCCGGCGUCGUCGAACGCUCUCUCAUUUCCCGUAUGCUCUCUAUCUUUCUCUCUCCUUUGGUCGAUGCUAAAUUCAUGACCUCUUGAUUUCUAGGCUUACUGGAUUUGAAUUUUUGACGAUGCUUCUGAUUAUUCAUCGUCAUCUCAGCUGGUAGUUGAUGGGUAUGUAAAAUUUGAAUUUUGGGAUCAAAGAAUUCAACUCUUAGAAAUUUUGGGAACAAACAAUUCGUUUUGAAUUCUUUUGAAAUGUGUAUUUUGAUGAUUUUUGUUGUAAAGAAAUAGAUGGAAUAUCUCUACAAAUUACUACACAGCUGGUGUUUUGGUAUGGAUGGCUCAUCUCCAUGACGAAUUUUUUGCAGAGGCCCUCCCAAUGUAUGAGCAGUUGGCUGCCUUGAUCUUGGUUUUCGACACAACUGAGGUUUUGGUCUCUUGCCACUCACUCUUUGUCACUUUGUUUACUUGUUUAUCAUGAUUUUCAAUGUGUCUUAUAUCAAUUUGCUCUCAUUAUGCUGCAGUUGUCGUCUCUGUCUGCGCUUAAGAAAUGGGUAUCUCAAACUGAUCUUCAAAAGUUCGAUAUACUAGUAUGCGUAGGGAAUAAGGUUGAUCGUGUUCCGGGUCACCCGGUUCAUGCCGAAUAUAGAAGACGACUGCAGAAGCUUGGAGACCCGUUUGCUGAUGCCGGUCCAGGGUUCACUGCGUAGGGAAUCUCCGAGACUGAAGGAAGCAGGUUUAUUGGGGGAUGACGAACCAUUUUGGGAGGCAAGGCACACAUGUUUGGAAUGGUGCACUGAGCAUAACAUUGAGUUCGUCGAAGGUUGUGCUUCAAAUGCUGAUUUUGACAGAUGUAAGGUAGCCCUUCUUUCUGACUUGUAGUUUAUGGCAAGUUUUAUACGAACGUGAAAAAUAAAAAGUAUGCUGCUCGAGGGUAGAAACGUCGUGCAAUUAGGAUGAUUGAAGAUAGAUCGAAGGUAGCCCUUCUUUUUGGCUGUUCCGAUCACAUCCUUCUUGGGUAAACUAAAAGAGAAUUGACGGUAGAAAUGAAUGCACUUUGGUAUGUGUUGAAUCUUUAUCGAUCCCUCUUUUUUUAAUGUUUAACAAUUGAACUCAUUAAUAUUAAAAUAGAUAAAAAUGAUAAAAAGAGUACGAACAAAAAAAAUCUUAAAUGCUUUUGUUGCAGUCUUUCAAGUUAAUUGUGUAUUUUCAUGCAUUUUAACCUUUGUAUGUACAUAAUUGAUUUGUCAUACGGUCAUAGUAGCUUGACAUCGUUUAUGUGUCAUGGGGUGAAAAGAACAUGUGCUUCAAUAACAAACAAAAAAAAAAUGAAAAUUGUUUGAAAUUUUUGAGUUUUCAUGAUAAGGACAAAAUAAAGGAUAAAGUGAAUAGUAUCAAGAUUGACUUUUUAGUAUAAAUUAUUUUCUCAUUUGUGAUAGAAAAAAUCACCUUAAAUGACUCACCUUUCUUCAUGUAUGUGACAUUAUUUAUAUGGUUCAAAAUGACACAAACCGGAUAUAAAUAAUGUGGGGGUGUGGUUAAGGAAAAAAUGCAUUAUUACUUUGGUAACUUAGAAACCACCUAUUGUUGGUGAAACCAGAAUUUUCCUAACAUUUACUCACUGAUGUUAUCGUUUUGUAAAAAAAUAAAGAUAAACUCUGCACCUCCAUCCUUUUUUCAACGCACUGCAUAUUCCUCUGCUUUUCUCUUGUUUUUAUUUUUUUAUUUUUUUUCUCGUUACGAAAAUGAAAAUUAUCCAAAAAGAAUGGUAUUAGCUAUUCCCCAUCCUAAAUGGAAGCGUGAAGGGAUGAGAUAGGGAAUGGGACCCUGACAAAGACUGAUAAUAGUAUUAGUAAUUAGUCUUCGGUAGUUCAAAGACGACCGUGGAACCAAGUUUGAAUGCACACCUCCCUUUUUUUUUUAUUCUUGAAUUAAAAAAAUCAAAAAGGAAAAUUAAUAGGUUGAAAUAAAAAUAAAAAUUAAGUACAAAAGAAGGAAACGGUGUGAAGAAAGUCACUCUACAAUACGUAAUACUUUUGUUACAUUUUUGAAAGUCAAUUGCAUGUUGCCGUGCAUUUUAAUUUUUGAGUAUAGAAUACUUGAUAUAUUGUCAAUUAAUCAUCUGUAUUUUGUCAAUUAGUGUUUGGAGCCUAUGGAUCCUUUAAUUUGAGACGUACAAAUUGAAUUCAACCGUCUUCAUUAAUUCAUUUUCCUGACCCAUCGCACACAACUAACGGUCUUGAUUUGAUUUGCACAUCAAUCAACGGUCCAAAUUAAAGGAUCUAUAGGCUCCAGACAUUAACAUCCAAAACGGAUCCAAUUCCUAAAAAAAUUGAUCGCGUACCAAACUCCCACAAAGAGGAUCCGGAUCCUCUUCCUAUCAUGUUGAUAUCGUGGAGCAAAAGGUAAUAGUCAGCAAACGAAGUUGAUAGGAUAGGGGUACUGUGAUUGAUACAAGUGAAGACGACGAGGGAUAAAGUGAUACUUUCGUGCUAGUUCCGAGGACAUUUUGGUAACUAAGCCUUUAUAUUUACUACUCGAUUUGAUUUAUAAUUAAUACUCUUUUUGGGUGUCGUAUCGUUCUCUCUCUCAAACACUAAUUACAAUUUGCAGCUCGUAGCUGAAAUGGGGUCCCUUUUUUCUUUAUAUGCAAUUGUAUUUCAUUACUUCUCUUGUAUUUUUCCUCAGCACUGAAAAAAAAAAGGGAAAAUUGUUUUCAUACAAAAAUUGUCCGAAAGGAAUCGUUUUAGCUGUUCCCAUCUGUCUAAUAUAAAAGUCCUAACAAAGACUGACAAUAGUAACCUGGGGCUGGUAAAAAAAAGUUGUGUCAAAAUCGCUACCCAGAAAAUUGUCCGGAAGGAAUCUUUUUAUCACGUUCACAUUGAAGGUGGUAGGAAACUGCUGCUUCCUACAUGGGCAGAAAAUCAUGCGAAAGGCCUGAUAUAUACGACAAGAGCGAAUUCUUGGUGCGAGUACCAGUCCAGCAUCCAUACUCAAUUCUUUGAAAGGCUCUUCCAUUUACCUGGAUUUCUCCAAUGAACAAUCAACUUGUCUCUUCUUCUUCCUUCAGCAGUCCUCCUUCGUGGGAGUACGAUGUCUUUUUGAGCUUUAGAGGAGAGGAUACACGAACCAAUUUUACAGAUCACUUUUACAAGGCGUUGGACG